CCCUAAUAUUAGGUGCUGAGGUAUUUCCAAGUUAUGGAAGAGAUAGACGCAACGAAGUCCACGACAGAGGAGCUGGAGCAAGUGGCAUUGUUCGAAGAAUUCCUAGAAAGAAAAUUUCAUUUGGGGACAGAAUUGCACCCCGAGCUCAGGUAUGGUUCUAUUGAAUUCCUUAAAUAUAACACUGAUUGUUUUGCAUGGUCGCAUGAGGAUAUUACAGGUAUCCCGACGGAAAUAGCCGUGCAUAAACUGAGUUUGGAUCCUAACGUAUCACCGGUAUGACAGAAGAAACGCCUUAUUGCCGAGGCCAGGAAUAAAUUCGUUUAAGAAGAGGUAACCCGCUUGCUUAAAAUCGAUUCGGUCAGAGAGGUAAGAUAUCCAGACUGGCUAGCCAAUAUAGUAGUAGUUCCUAAGAAGAACAAUAAAUUUCGCAUGUGAGUAGACUAUAAAGACCUUAAUAAGGCGUGCCCGAAAGACUCAUUCCCACUACCAAAUAUCGAUCAAAUGAUUGAUUCCACGGCCGAGCACGAGCUAAUGAGUUUCCUUGAUGCUUAUUCUGGGUACAACCAAAUUAAGAUGGACCUGGAAGAUUAGGAAAAAACUUUAUUUAUAACGAAUUUCGGUACAUAUUGUUACAAUGUACUUUCGGGUUGAAAAACGUCGGCGCCACUUAUCAACGGCUCGUAAAUAAGAUGUUUGAAAAGAAAAUAGGAAAGAUCAUAGAAGUUUAUAUAGACGAUAUGCUAGUUAAGUCUUUGAAUGCAGGUGACCACCUUAAGCAUUUACAAGAAAUAUUCGACAUCCUAAGGAAGCAUAAUAUGAAACUUAACCCCGAGAAGUGCGCGUUCAGGGUCAGUUCUGGUAAGUUCCUAGGGUUUAUGUUCUCACAAAGGGUAAUUGAGUUGAACCCCAGCAACAUCAAGGCCAUAGACUAUAUCCUGGAUCAAUUGUCAAAUGUGAAGGAUUUCCCACUCGUCAGAAAAAUGUCAUUGCCUUUUCAAACCGAUGAAAAAGAAAAAUAAUUUCGAAUGGACAUUAGAGUGCCAACAGGCUUUGAGGGACCUGAAGAAGUACUUAUCAAGCCCUCCAUUGCUUUCAAACCAAAAGAAGGUGAAACACUGCUAGUCUGCCUCGCGAUUUCAAAAAUUGCGAUAAGUAUGUGUUUAGUCCGGGAGGAUAAAGGUACGCAAUUUCCUAUUUAUUACGUUAGCAAAAUUUUAACGGGAGCAAAAACUCGCUACGCACAUUUGGAAAAAGUAGCCUUAACUGUCGUAGUCGCCGCUCGGAAGCUGAGGCCUUAUUUCCAAUGUCACCUGAUAGUUGUGGUGACUACUUUCCCUUUGCGGAACAUUCCCCAUAAACCCGAGCUCUCGGGAAGAUUGGCCAAGUGGGCCGUCGAAAUGAGUGAAUUUGAUAUAGAAUAUAAACCAAGGAUUGGAAUUAAUUCACAAGUCUUGGCUGAUUUCGUGGCGACUUUAGUCCGUGACUACUACCUCUAGCAACCAAGGAGGCAGUAGUGGUGUCAGAAUAAACAUCGGGGGUUUGGACCUUAUUUAUGGAUGAUGCUUCCAACGUAAAAGGGUCCGAACUCGGAAUAGUUUUAAUCACGCCUUCGGGGGAAACCUUAAGGCAAGCCAUCAGAAUGAUCCCUUUAACUAACAAAGAAGUAGAGUAUUAAGCUUUGAUUGCAGGGCUCGAAUUGGCCCGAGGACUCGAUUCCGAGGUUAUCGAAAUCUUUUCUCACAACUAACGGUAAAUCAGGUCUAUAGGAUCUUUGAUAUGAAAGAAGAAUGUAUGCAACAAUAUGUGGUAAAGGUACAGGCUCUUUUGACACGAUUUUGUGAGUGGUCAAUUACUCAUAUCCCGAGGGAGGGUAUUGCAGAAGCAGAUGCAUUAGCAAACUUAGGAUCACCGAUAGAAAUCAAGGGAUCAAAGUCUGGAACAGUGGUAUAACUGAUGAGCUCGGUCCUGGAUACAAAUGGUUACUAUGAGGUAAAAUCGGCCAGUCUGGUCAGGGACUAGAGAAAUGAAAUAAUCAAUUACCUCGAGCACGGAAAGUUGCCCAAAGACUCCGAUGCAUCACGGGCGUUACGCAUCAAAGCUGCACGUUAUAGCUUCAAGAAAGGCCAACUGUAUAGAAAAUCUUUCCAAGGUCCGCUGGACAGGUGCUUAGGAACGUCAGAAGCUAAUUAUGUCAUGAGAGAAAUCUACAAAGGGAUAUGCGACAAUCACUCAGGCACAGAUUCUUUGGUGCUGAAGUUGGUACGGGCAGGAUAUUAAUGGCUUGCAUGGAACAAGACGCCAAAGAUUUCAUACGAAAAUGUGAUAAGUGAAACGCUACACACCACUAGUACACCAAUCGGCAGAACCCUUACAUUCGGUUUUGUCCCAAUGGCCAUUCAUGAAAUAAGGGAUGGACAUCGUCGGACUGCUGCCACUAGCUCCCGAAAAGGUACGACUUCUUUUAAUUCUGACUGAUUAUUUUUCUAAAUGGGUGGAAACAGGUUAUAGAAUAUCGGAGAACGCGAAGUGGUCGGUUUCCUGUAGGAAAAUGUAAUUUGCAAGUUCGAAAUAAUGGGCCACAGUUUAUCGGUGCAAAAGUUACAAAGUUCCUCGAAGACUUGAAAAUAAAGAUGAUCACAUCUUCUCCUUAUCAUCCGAGUGCAAACAAUCAAGCAGAGUCAACAAACAAAGUGAUUAUUAAAAACCUCAAGAAAAGGUUGCAUGGAGCAAAAGGCAAAUGGCCCGAAAAAUUGCCCGGAGUUCUAUGGGCCUACCGAACAAUAGCCAAAUUGCUUACAUGAGAAACUCCUUUUUCCCUCGUGUAGGGUGCUGAAGACCUAAUCCUAGUAGAAGUGGGUGAACCCACUUUGAGAUAUUCCCAGAAAAAUGAAGAAUAGAACAACGAAGCAAUGAUUGGAACUGCUCGAGGAACGAAGGGCCUUGGCGCAUGUAAGAAUGGCAGCUCAAUAGCAUAGAAUGGAGCGAUAUUACAAUCGAAGAGCUAACUUCCGUUAUUUCAAAGUAGGAGACUUGGUUCUUAGGAAAGUAACCCAAAAUACUCGGGAGCUCAACGCGGGAAAGCUAGGUCCAACAUGGGAAGGUCCCUACCGGAUUUCAGAUGUCACUGGGAAAGGUUCAUACGAGUUGGUGAACCAGAAUGGAGACAAGUUGCCUAGCAACUAGAACGUGUCACACCUCAAAAGGUAUUAUUGCUGACGAACACUAUUCAAACGGAAAGUAUGUGUUGCACCCUUUUUCCCUUCGUUCAGUUUUUAUCCCAAUUGGGUUUUUCUGGCAAGGUUUUUAGCGAGGCAGUAACAUAAGCAUACUACAAAGAUAGCAACAAUAAGACCUUUGAUAGUAAGGCAAACAAACAAGCUUCCACUCAGGGACGGUUAGAUUAUCUUUGGUUCAAUGGCAAAUUCCUACUAAGAAGCAAAGUUUGCUACUGGACAGAGGUUACCCGACCAUUCACAAGCACAAACCACUAGAGGACUGUAAGGUAUUAUUUCGCUCGAUAGCAUGGAUUCCUAAGUGGAAGUAAGGUAUGUUGUCGAGUGAAGGAUUACCUAGCAAUUCAUUGGUGGAACCUUCAAGUGUACAAGAAUUCCAGUGUUCAAAUUCGCACUCUUCGCAUUCAAACACUGGGGGAGGGGGAAUGAUAUGAGGAUAUGGCAACAAUGACUGUCAUAUCAACCGGGGAACGAAAAUUCGGAAACAAAAUGCAUCAUCAGGACCAGGGAGUGCACAUCCAGCCCCGUAGAAACAAGUUGUACAAGAUAGCCACCAGUAAUGGCAAUUUCUUUUCUGCAUAGCAAAAUGCUUAUGUAUUAUUUGAAAAUAAAAGGAAUAAAAUAAAAUCAUUUUGCUUUUAUCUUGUUUCUUGUCUGAACGAUGAGCUAACUUUGUCAUUUGAAAGUUAAACAAGUACUUCAAAUAUUAGUGCUGUAAUAAUGAACAGGAGACAUCCUUUUCUAGAGCACUGUAGACAUAAAAGGUCCCUCUCUUAUAAAAACCCUCACGCUAAAGGGUUUAUUACAGAAGAAUCUAUGCCCGGAAUCUAAAAUGCUGUCGGGGAAAAGUACACCCGAAGCCGCAUAUGAAAAGGACACAAAAAGUAAACCCUCAGAACCAAAAUGCUUGGAGGAAAAGGCAUCCGAGACUACACAUAGUAAAGCGCGAAUAGAAAAGCGUGCACAGAAGCUUGAGCAAGUACGAAAGUUAAAGACUUGCAUGGAUAUUCAAACAAAAGUAAGAAUCAAAUGAUACUUGAGCAAAAAAAAAUGUCUUUAUUUACAAGAACGUGCCAAAACGAUAAAAGUAGAAAAUGGGAAAAGGAAAAGAAAAGCUAAACUGCAGCGCCUCCGGAACUAGGAGGAAGAGAAGUAUUCGUAUUCCCGAGAGAAGUAGGUGGUUCCACCGAUGGCUCGAUGUUUUCCCCAGUUUAGUCUUCAGCAUCAUCACCUUUUGAUCCCUCUUUAGUUUUCGAAAACUCAAAACUGGAACCAGAAGAACCAGGAGCAUCAGACUGCGCCAGGAGUCCAUUUUUUGCAGCCAACUCAAGCUCUCCGGACUUAGAAAUUUUGGCAUCAACGUCAAUGAUACCAUUUUUGGCCUCUUCUAAGGUUUUUCUCCUCAUGCUCAACAUGGCAUAAGUUUUUUCAACAAUGAGGGAAGCCGCUCGGUGCUUAAGUUCUUCUUUGAGCUGGGUAACCUCGGCACAAAUGUUUUCCCGGGCGGACCUAGCAGAUUUGAGGCUGACGUCGAACUCGCGAACCCUGGGGCGAGGCGUACCAAACAAGCCCCGAGGCGAUGGGGUGCGGCGAAAUUCUCAAGAGGUGUACGCCCAGCAAUUCGGUGCAUAUGCCCGGGCAUUUGAGGCGCGUUUUUAUAGUGAGGCAUAAGCCAUAAAGACUUUUCAAAUUAAAAUAAACUUUUUUGAAUAAGUCCAUCAUACAAUACUCAAAUUUUCAAAAGUCGGCUUGUAAUUACUCAAAAAUUUUAAAAAGGAAAUGAAAUGUAUUAAAUUUAAAAGUCAAGACAUUUUUUAUUGAUUGAAGCCCUAAUUCAUGGUCUUUCCCAAUUAUUUCUCUUGUCUGCUAGUCUGCUAAUAUCUCCGAAAAGCAACGAAUAUUCAAUUUUGUUUUACAAAUAUAAAGAGAACUUCAUUCUCCUUCAUAGCAGCAAGUUCAAAGUUCAAAUUGCAGGUUAGUCAUCCUUUUUGUUCCUCCAUAUAUAAAACUUUAUUCUUUCCGAAUCAAGUUACUUGUACUUGUAAAUAACGUAUAAUAGAUUGGUUUGACUAGUUUUUCGUGGUAAUUGAGCAUACAAAGGGCCUAAGCCCCAUAUAUUUACAUGUUUUUAAAUAUUUACUGUAAUUAUAUUAUUAUAUAAAAUAUUAAAAUUUAAAUACCUAUGGGGCCUACGUCCCAUGCCUCGGGGCUUACGCCUCGCUGAGGUAUAUGUAAAAUGUCUCGCCUUACGCCUACACCUUUUAAAAGACUGGCAGAUAGUUAAACUAAAGUGCCUAUUAUGCUCGAUAGUUUUCGUGUACUUCUCUUCUAGCUGGGCGUGUCUCGCCCCCACAGCAGCAAGCUCUUCAAUUUUGGAGUUCAAGUCCGCCUCUGAUUUAAUCUCUCUUUCAGCAAGGCAGCCUCACGAUCGGUUGCAGCAAGAACGUCGUUCUGGACUUCAACCCAUUUGGUCCUGGAUUCAUCAAAUCUAACCCUCUGCGGCCCAAUUUCUUGGAUAAAGGUUACCACUUCUUGCUCGCUUUGUUGAAAAUGAGCCUCCAAAAGAACGGCCUCAGUAGCUUUGGUUUCCAGUUCUGAGAGGCGGAGAAUAGCUUUGUCCUAUUCUGCCAAAAGCUGAUUCUCAGAAGUAUGUUCUUCCUUCUCACGAAUCAACCUUUGAAGGCCCUCGGAAGCAAGAAAGUUGGCCUACAAAACAAGAAGAGGUAAAAUUUAGAAUACAUUCAUACAAAAAGUAGAAGAAAUGACAAAAUAAGAAAGGAACACACCUGUGUAGCGUUAUUACGUUGUUCAACAAGCACUCUCCGGAGAGUGCCUAAAUCUUUUCCGAGUCUUUUUCUGAAGCCAAAUGCUUCAUGUAAUUAGCAAGCUCCACCGGCCGUGAUAGCAGGUUGCACUCAGUAGAGAUCGAAAGAGUAAUGUUCCUCCUCCUUUGUGGAUCUUCAGAAGGGACAACAUUAUUUUGCCCCAAAUUCCCAUGAACUGGGGACUGUGGAAGACGAACACCUUCUUUUUGUGUUCAGGUACGGCCGAUGGAGAUGAUGUAGCAACUGCUGGUGGAAGAGUGGAUGAAGAUGGAAGUGAUAUAGUAGUUGUUGGUGUUGGUGAAGGUGAAGAUGAAGCAGAUGGAGUUGAAGAGUGAGAAGCAGCUGCAUACAAUGCAGUGCUAGCUAUUGGUGCUCGCCAACCAAAGAUGGAAAAGACCUGAUACUUAGCCCCACAACACCAGUUACAACAAUUAGGGCCCGAAAAUUGGAGUUGGCAUUUUCUACCAAGUCAGAUUCUCCCCAAAGUGCCGAGACAUCGUCUAGUUAGUGUAAUUAUCUCAACAGGUCGAGUAUCCUGUUGAGAUGAUGAGGAUCGUCGCCUUCUAUGUAGAGAAGCUCCCUCAUCACUAGCUCCUUCAUCAUGAUCAAUCAUCACAACGUCUCUGACCGGCUUGGAAGGAGGACCAGCCGUCAUCUCCACCGGAGAUGACUCGGAGGCAUCAAUCUUUGCCCUUUUAUUCUUUUCCCCAGUCGCGGAGGAACGUCUUCUCUUUGUUUGCUUAUCCUCUGGCCGGGGACUCCGUAAAGAAGUGUUUGCACCCAAAAUAGGCCCGGAUAUACCUAUUAGAGUAAGUGUUUCCCGAAGCAGCUUCGCUGCAUUAGCGGGAUCAACCAAAACGUCCUCCUUGGGCAAAGCAACAGAGCCCAUAGGUAGACCUAAUUCCGUGAACAAGUCAGAAGGGUUCAACAUCUUCUGAUGGACUUCCACCCGUAUUUAAGGUCAGUUCUUUAAACAAAUGAGUUUCGAGCAUCGUAACGUCCAACAUCUUCUGAACCUACUGGUCCAAACCUGCCACCACCUGUGGAAUCUAUCAAGUUGUGAAACAUGCGAAGGGUGAAGAGAUGCUACAGCUAUAAAAGAAUAUCUAGUAAAAAGGAAUACUAUACAAAGAACUCACGAGUGCGAUUCCAAGCAACCAGAAAGGAUGAAGUCAUUGUCGGAAUGAUGUCAUUGGUGGCAACUACAACGAACCGUUCUAUCCACCCAUAGUUGUUGUCAUCAUCCAUGCUAGACAGCGAAGCAUGGUGGCUACACAUGCAAAGGUUUGUUAUUCCCCCGCGAAAGUUUUUAGGAGAAUAGAGAUUCAUCAUAUGAGCUAAGGUUAGCUCCUCUCCAAUUUUUUGGCACAAACGUCGAAGGUAGGCGAUUGUCCUCCACACUAAAGGACUUUCCAGUGCCAAACACACCUGGUAACGAAGGCAAAACUCUGCAAUCACGGAAUCAAGCUCUCAGCUCAAUGAAAACACACUCAAAGUAAAUGGAUACGUGAAAAAGUAUGUAAAACCUUCCUUGAGAAGGGUCACUCGCUCUGAUAGAUCGAGAGCAAUAAUAUCCAACUCAGGGCAGCGGCAGUCCUCCUUCAUAGCAGAAAUACUAGAAGGACGAAUGGAAGAAGGGUACUUACUAAUAGCCUGUGUAUGAGAGUUAGCAGUUGGAAAUUUCUCUUCAAAAUCCUUUGAAGUACUAAGUCUUCUUGGGAUAAUGGAACCCAUUUUUGCAGGAACAGAGUCCUCGGUUUUGUUUUUGUUCUUUAUAGAACCAACACGCUUGGAGGAAGAAACCAUUGAAAAAGAAGAAGGAAAAGACUUUGUGUUUAAAUAAAAUUUGAAAAAGGAUGGAAAACAAAGAUGCAAAUCAGAAGCUCAAGCAAUUGUGAAACGCAAAGGAAAAGAAAGUUGUGUAUAAGUAAAAUUUUGGCGGCUAAAUUCAUGGCCAUGAUUACCUCAAUAAUCGACAAAAGUUGUGCUGAAUCAUGGGACGCGUGUUCGGGGUAUUAAAUGCGGAGAGACGUGCGUCUAAUCAACUGUCAGAAACCUUCAGAGGGAGUUAUAGUAAUUCCCGCCAAAAAGGUAUUUCUAACAAUUUCCCGGUAAUACAAAGUUAUGUCACUGGAAAGCUGGAAGACUAUCUGUAUAGGGAAAAAUAUGAUAUGACACGUGAUUUUCUAAAAGGAGGACACGUGGAACCCAAGAUAUGGAUGACCGAAGACCGAACGCAGCCACUCCGCUUGUCACAUGAAAGGAUAACGUUCAUAAAGGUUUAUUAAAUGCUCUGUGCUCGGUAGCAUUUACUAGGGAAUAUUCUGCAGCAUUAAGAGCGACGGUCCAUUACAGGGAAUUUGACAUUUAUGUUCACCGUUACAUCUUCAUCAAUGACCCUCAUAAUUGACAUGAAAGGAGGGCACAAUCCUAGGACCCCCUUCCCUAGAUAUAGCUAUAAAUAGUGAGCUCAGUUAUCAUUAUAAAGGACACGAAUUUUCUGGCAAAACUUACACGAUAUUCUAUACAAAGCUUAAUACAAUUUUGCUUUCUUGUUCUUCGAUUUUAUCAUUGAUGUGCCCGAAAACUGUGUCCACGGAAUUAUCAUCUCUGCGGUUUCAUCUACAUUCAAAGACUAAGUAUUGUGUAUUUCUUUAAUUAUUGUAUUAUUUCAGGAUCAAAUUAAUUCACUUGUCUAGAAACCACAUAUAAAUUCAACUAUACCGUUUUACGGGUAAAUACAUAUAGAAUUUCGAUUUUAUUAAACGUCUUUGAAAGGCCAACUCAACGUCUUAAACUAAAAUAAAACGAAACUAAUGUAUGAUUGUGUCAAUUCACUAAUAAAUACAACUUCACCUCGCCACCUCUCGUUUGCACGAGAGCCUAUAAUUUGGAAGUUUGUUAACUUCUUGGUUUCCAACUUCCAUGCGUAGAGCUGUGAAAAAUAACUCAUCUCCCUCAAUUUAUCUUCGUUGGUCUUUUGGUUAGACUUUUUUACUAUGGAAUUGCGAGUUUAUACACGAGUUUGAUAAAUAAUUAAUAUAAGGUGCAUCUCAAAGAAUAUAUAUAAUCACUAAAUGUCCAAAAUGAUAUGAUUUCAUGAAGUCAAGAAAAGUUUUUUAGCGAUGUUGGACUAAAGCGGCUCAAAUAUACUUUUGACAUGAUAUGAUGUUGUCCAUUUUGGAUCAAAUUCGCACACUUUUCCCCCAAAACGUCUUACACCAUUAAAAAUAUCCAACUCUUUAUAAGUAACUUAUUUUUCUUUUCUACUUUUUAUGUAGUACUUUAUUCCCACACACCCAACAACCAGCAUUAUGUAUUGAAUAAUAGGAGUGGGUUAAAUGAUGCAAUAUUUUCGGUUAUAAUAAAUCCUGAAAUGACAUUGCCAAAAUAAUUGUUUUGCCAAUAAUAAAUAUUACGCUAUAGAAUAAAUGGAGUAACUAAAACAUUUUCAAUAUCAACAACUACUUCGAAUUUGAAACAAUGAGCACGCCUACAGGUCAACUCUAUAUUGAGUCUACCUCUAAUAAUUUAAUCAAAUUUCUGAAAAAAUGAACUUAUUCUCUUCGAAUUCGGACUUUGGGGUGGGCUGAUGGAGUCAAACAUUUAUAGUGUUUAAAGCAUACAUCAAAUUUUAAGAUAGCAUCUUCUUCACGGCUAGUAAAUUUCCUAGCAUCUAAUCAGGCGUAAUCCCCACAUUUCAAGUGCGAAAAAUGCAUAAUUUUGACUUAGAAAUUUUUUUCUUACGUGCAAUAAAUAUUGUUAAUUUUCCAGGGUCCAAUAAUGUUAUUGGAGAGGUCACAAGCAAGAAUGAAUCUUUAUUAUCCACCUUUUGGAGAAGGAAAAAAAAAAGGAAUUUUAUAUAAAUAGCCAACCUGAUUUACUGUUACUAAAACAUAUAAAUUUUUGUAAUAAUAAUUUAGAUAUAAUUUUAGCCAAUUUACGGCCUCUUCAGUUCUAAAUUUCUUUUAAUUAGAAAUAGAGUCUGCUCAAUGGUGUAGAUGACCUAAAGCCAAGUCAUAAUAAGAGGCCUUAUUUAAUGAACUUUUUAGAUAAUUUUGUUUGAAGUAUAUUCUUUUCACUUUUUGAUGCAAUAAUUUAUAUUUUAUAGUUAAUUUCAUAUAAUAUUUAUUUGACAAUGUAAUUAUUCCAUUUAAUUUUUGUUGAAACAUUAUUGACCUUCGGUAAGAUUUAAUUUGGAAAAGCUUCCUUUACAUGACGUCAACAUACCUCACUAAUAUACUGUUGUCUUCCCAGUAACAGUUAUGUGGGAAUUUGUAUUUUACAAAGUCACUAAAUAAAUCAGCUAUAGCUUUUUACGAUCUAGUUAGUUUAAAGUGUGGCUACAUAGAUCUUGAAAGGAAAUAUCAUAUAAAAUUAGAGAGUAAAUAAAAUUUAUUCAAAUCGGAGUGAGAAGAAAUAGAAAGUAACGGCAUAUUUAAUUCCCUUUCACUUUUGUAAUUAUCUCAACCAACUCCAUAAAAAAAUAACAAUAAUUAUUAUUAUUUAAUAAUAAAUACAAUAAAUAUGUAAAAAUACAUAUGAGAAGAGUAUCUUUUGCGGCCUCUAUUUUAUGAGGCCUAAAUUUGUCGAUUUAUAGUCUGUUUGGCCAAGCUUCUCCAAUCCUAGAAGCACUUUUUUUUCUUCAAAAAAGUACUUUUUUCAAUGUUGAUGUGUUUGCCAAGCUUUUGGAAGAAAAAAGUGCUUUUGAGGAGAAUCAGAAGCAGUUUUGGACAAGCAUAAAAAAAUAACUUAUCUCCAAAAUCACUUUUUUGAAAAACACUUCUGAGAAAAAUACACUUAGAAGCAGGUUUUAAAAGCUUAGCCAAACACUAAUUGCUACUCAGAAGUAUUUUUUUAACUUAAUUAGUCAAAUACAAACUGCUUCUCACUAAAAGUAUUUCUGAAAAAAAUACAUCUUAAAAUAAGCUAAUUUUUGUAGCUUGACCAAAUAAGUUAUUAGUAGCUUGGUGGUACGAUUAAGCCGCCUUUGAUUAGAAAAAACAUGUAGUAUAAAUUUUUUUUUUAUUCAUUACAUAUUGCCUUCAGCCUAGCUAUAUGAUUAGUUUAACUUACAAUAAUUAAUUUUAUUUUUUUGAACUUGCAUAUUCAAAUCAAUAAACUAUAAUACUAAAAACUACUAGUAUAUAAAAUUUGAUUAAAUAAUACUUUUAUGAAUUCUCGUGCGAAGUGUUACGCAGUAAAAAGAAAAGAAAAGCACGAGUGACAAAAAUGUUGGCGAAAUUAUUCAUGCUACAUGUUUAUUAGUAAAUAAAUAAGAGGGUACUCAUAUUCAUCCAUACAGAAUAUUUCUUACAGUUUCAGUGAAGAAAAAUUAAAAAUAUUCUGCGAGCUCGAAAAAGAAAGAAGAAAAUAUUAGGAGAUUUUAUUUUUCUUAUUCCACUUAGAUGAACUAGACAUUUGUAGAUAUUAAGUGGCUAAAUAGAUGAUGUCAAGCUUGGGAAAUACAAGCUUAGAAAGCUUUACAGCUAUAAAAUGGAGGAAACAAUUAGAAGCUUCCAGAAUAUCGAUUGAAGAGAAGACAAACUGAGAUGGAGUCUCUAAUUGAGAAAAGUGAAACUCAAACUCAAUUAUGCUGCAGAGUAGUUCUUAUAUACAGUGAGCACUAAGCUAACUAACUAAUCCGGAAAUGACAACUAAGCAUUAACUAACAACUCCAACAACUAACUAACAGCUAACUGACUAAAGCAACAGUAAUAACUAACUACUGAAUAAAUACAAUUCUCUAAUUUUAAUACCCCCCUCAAGUUGGAGGUGAGGGAAGCACAACCAACUUGCCCCAGACAGUAGCAUGUUUGAUCCCAGUAAGGGACUUUGCGAGGAUGUCAGCGAGUUGAUCACCAGUCCUUAUGUGCUGAAGCAGAAUGAGACCUUCUUGGAGCUUAGACCUCACGAAGUGGCAGUCAACUUCAAUGUGCUUGGUGUGCUCGUGAAACACAAAAUUUCUGGCAAUGUGGAGAGCAGAUUGACUGUCACAAAACACAAGGAUAGGCAGGUCAGGAGGGACAGUUAGCUAUGUAAGUACACGAUGCAGCUAGACAAGUUCACCAACAACCUUCUUGAUGGAUAUAUAUUAUGCUUCUGCUGAAGAAAAGGAGAUGGUUUCUUGCUUUUUAGAUUUUCAGCUAAUGGGACUAUUUCCCAAGAGAACAAUAUAACCUGACACUGACUUCCUAGAAUCAGGGCAGGCAGCCCAAUCAGAAUCACAAUAGGCUUGGGCUGAGAAGUCAGCAUCAUUGGAUAUGGAUCCUUGAGUAAGUAUCUAAGCAUGUGAUAAGCAUCCUAAAGGUGAGGCUCCCUAGGAUCUUGCUUUUAAAUUGAAUUCUGUGUUCCGAGGCCUUAAAAACCUCAUUUAGCAUCACCUCGAUUUGCGUGUGCAGUCCGGGCGCGUAGCCGGAAAGCCGAAAUAUGAAAAUCUAUGAAAAAUGAUAAGUUUUGACUAUAAAAUGAGUUAAUUUGACUUCGGUCAAUGUUUUGGGUAAACGGACCCGGACCCAUGAUGUGACGGUCUCGGAGGAUCCGUAGGAAAAUAUGGGACUUGGACGUAUGCCCGGAAUUGAAUUCCGAGGUCCCAAGCCCGAGAAAUGAAUUUUUAAAUAAAAUUAUUUUCUGAAAUUGUUUAAAGGAAUUUGAAAUGAACUUUGAUUAGAACAUGUUGGUAUCGGGCCCGUAUUUUGGUUUCGGCGCGCGGUACAGGUAUUAUAUGUGAUUUAAGAUAACUCUGUGAAGUUUGGUAAGAAACCGAUGAGACGUGAUUCGGACCUAAAUUGCAAAAUUUGAUGUUUUAAGAAGUUUGAAAUAAUUCAUUGAUUUUGAGGUUUAGUUCGAUGUUAAUGAUGUUAAUUUGGUAAUUUGAUCGCACGGAUAAGUUCAUAUGGUGUUUUUGAGUUAGUACGUAUGUUUGGUUUGGAGCCCCGAGGGUUCGGGUGAGUUUCAGAUGUGUUUCAGAAGGUUUCAAACUCUUAAAAAGUUGCAGGUUUUCAGCUGUUGGUAUUCUGAUAUUUCCUUCUUCGCGUUCGCGGGAGGACCCUCGCGAAUGCGAUGUGUUAAUUAUGCUGAAGGAAAUUCCUUCUACGCAAACGCGCAACCCAGGUCGCAAACACGGUGCGUUGGGAGGUCUUCCCUUCGCGAACGCGGGCCUGGUAACGCGAACGCGAAGGCUAAUUGAGCCUGGGCAGGGGGUGGGGCAUUAAACCUACGCGAACGCGACCACAAGGACGCGAACGUGAAGGCUCGAGGGGUCAUUUCUCCACGAACGCGAUCCGUCUUCCACGAACGCGAAGGCCUACCAGGCCUAACCCAUCGCGAACGCGAUGAGUAAUUUCGCCCAGUUAUAUUAAGUUCCAAAAACAGAACACAUUACGGGAUUUUCAUUAUUUUUCACAAACUUCAUCUUCUCCAUACCUCUUGGGCAAUUUUUGAAGAACUUCUUCACCAUAACCUCUUGGGUAAGUAAUCUUUAACUUGUUUUCUUCCAUUUUUAUCAACACCCACUAGAUUUCUAGGCCUCAAACAUGUGAUUAAGGGUAAAAAAUUAGGGAUUUGUGUAGAGUUGGGGCUUUUUAAUUAUUUGGGAAUUUGACCUCAUUUUGGGGUCAUAUUUAAAAAUAAAUUAUAUAUUCGGGCUCGUGGGUGAAUGGGUGAUCGGAUUUUGGUCUGAACCUCGUGUUUUGAUCAAGCGGGCACGGGGCCAAUUUUUGACUUUUUUGGAAGAAUGAUUAGAAAGUUAUAAUUAAGCAUUGAAAUUGGAUUGUUUAGCAUUUUUUAUUGAUGUUAUGAAGUCGAUUAUGUAUAGAUACAAUCGAUUUGGAGCCGAAUUCGAAAGGAAAGGCGGUGUUUGAGGCUUGAGUUGGCCGUGGAAGUUCAAGGUAAGUGUUCGGUCUAACCUUAGCUUGAGGGAUUAGGAGUUGUGUCCUAUUUGCUAUUUGCUUCUUGUUGAAUACGACGUAUAGGCAUGAUGAUGAGUAUCUAUACGUUGGUGUCGAGCAUGACCGUGAGUUUUAAAUUGAUAUUUGUGGUGUUCUUAAAUGAUACUAGGGAUGCUUUAAUUGGUGAUUCUCGAUAUAGAGCAAGGAUUUAGUUUAUUUUCGUGGAAAGUAAUUAUGAUUGAGUAUUGAUGUUAGUUGAGAUGAGUAGGGAUUGAGUUAAGAUUGGUUAUAGUUGAUUCUCCCUUGCCGGGACGUAUAUACUUUUACUGUUGAGUUCCCUUGCCGAGAUAGUGUAGUUUAUUACUGAUCCUUUGCCGGGACUCGUGAUAUGGUUGAGUUUAAGGUAUAUAAAUAUAUUUGAUCGGGUUGCACGCCGCAACAUUAUUAUAUAUUGGAUUGGGUUGCACGCCGCAAAAAUAUUAUAUUGGAUUGGGUUGUACGCCGCAAUAGUAAUAUUAAUGGAUCGGGUUGUACGCCGCAACAGUGUUAAAUGAUAAGGGAUCGGUUGCGCGCCGCAACGGUGCUAUUAUUGUUUGUUGUAGAACUUGAACUGUUCUCUCUUAUCACUCUUUAGCUUCUGUUGGAUUUGAUAUGUUUCCCGUAGCAUGUACCCUCUUUCAUUUACAUUGUUUAUUCUUGUUUAUUUUUUUGCUGUAUAUUAUAUAACUGCACAUGUUUAUCUAGAGUCUAGUCCUAGUCUCGUUACUACCUUGUCGGGGUUAGACCAGACACUUACCAGCACAUGGGGUCGGUUGUGCUGAUGCUACACUCUGCACUAUGUGCAGAUACCGGAGCAGCAUUGGACAGUAGCACUGGGGAGCCAGCCUUCAGUCCACUCAGAGAUCCCGAGGUAGUCCUGCAGGCGACCACAGGCUCGACGUUCUCUUCUAUCUAUUUAUAUGUUCUGUUUCUACUUGAUUCCGAGAUAGACUGUAUUUCCUGGUUCAGACAUUUGUAUGUAGUAUUCAUAGACAGUCCGUGGAUAUUGUGACACCGGUUUCUGGGUAGAGAUAUAUGUUGGCAUUUUCGUACUGAUUUUGGUAUUAUAUUAGUCUAAGCCUUCCGCUUAAUUUCAUAUUUCGCUAUCAUUUAAACGUUGAUCACCUGUUAAUUCAAUUCGUUAAAAAAAGUUAAAAAUGAAAGAGAUUGAAUUUUCUAUAUUUCAUGGCUUGCCUAGCUUCUACGAGUAGGCACCAUGACGACUCCCGAGGGUGGGAAAUCCGGGCCGUGACAAUGUUGGCUCAAGUGUUGUACUCCAUAGGCUAUAUCUUGUCUAGUAUUGGUGAGGAAGUUCAAUUUCCCAUCUGUAAAAAGUAGGAUUAGACAAGGGUGUUCCUUCCUUAGCUUUCAACUUAACUAUAGGAUCAAGGGGAAAUGAGAGACUGGUAUAGUGUAGGCAAUCAUAGACUUUAAGGAGAUCAAGAACAAAUUUUCUUUGGGAGAUUAAGAUUCCGCCAUCUCUAAGAGUACUUCAAGUCCCAAGAAGUAGUGCAAUCUUUUUAAAUCUUUGAUUUUGAACUGCUCAUGUAGGAAGUUUUUCAACAUAUGAAUUUUAAGAAGGUCAUUCCCUGUCAGUAGGACAUCAUCUACAUAAACUCCCACAAAAACUACACAAUCAGCAGUUUUCUUGUAGAAUAAAGAGUAAUCAUGCAUGGAAUGACUAUAUCCUCUGGAGUAUAGGGCUUCGGUGAGCUUAGUAUACCAUUGUCUGUUGGCUUGCUUCAAGCCAUAAAGAGAUUUGUUCAAUCUACAAACUAGUCUAGGAGAGGAGACUGCAAGACCUUGGGGCAGCUUCAUGUAGACCUCAUCAUGCAAAUCUCUAUGAAUAAAGGCAUUGUUCACAUCCAACUGAAAGAGCUCCCAUUUCUUCUUAGCGGCAGUAGUAAUUAAGGCUCUGACAGUAGUCAUUUUUACCACUGGAGAAAAAGUUUCUGUAUAGUCUACUCCUGCCUUCUGUGUAUAUCCUUUUACAACUAAUCUAGUUUUGUAUCUCUCUAUACUUUCAUCUACUUUAUGUUUGACAUUGUAUACCUACUUGCAACCUAUGGCUUGCUUUCCAGCAGGCAAUGGAACCAAUGUUUAGGUGUUAUUUGCAUGAAGUGCUUCAAAUUCAAGUCAUGACUUGUUGCCAGGCAGGAUUGCCUGCUCCUUCUUCAUAAAAAGAGGGCUCCCUGUCAUUACAAAUACUUCUCACAACCUACUGGCUAUCAGGACCCAAGACAUCAGGAAUAAUGUGGUUGUUUUGGGUAAAAAAAGCAUUGAGAGAGAAAAGUGAGUUAGUCUGACUGACUUCAACAUUCUGAGGUUGUUUCAGAUUGGGCACAGAACAUACAUAUUCAGACAAGUAAGAUGAAACUUUAGAUACUCUACUGGAUACUCUCUGAUUGGGUUUUAGUAUGGAAGGAGAGGGUUGAUUAAUUGUUGAAGUGAUUGGAGAUAUUGUUUGUGAUGAAAUGGUGUUAGGGAUAUGAGAUGAGUGUAUGGUAUGAUUAGGUGACAUUGGAAUAGGUGAGUGUAUAGUGUGAUUAGGUGACAUUAAGAUGGGUGUAGUAGAAACAUCUCUUUGAGGAGUUGUGACACUAUCAGUAGGAUAAGAGGGAAAAACAACAGAGUGGUCAUGAUGUGCAACAGUAUGAGGUAAGGAAGAGGAAGGAACUGGCACUGAUUGAAGAGAUAAAGGAAAUAUGGACUCAUGAAAAACAACAUCUCUAGAUACACAUAUUUUUUUAGUAGCUAGACUCAAUACUUUGUACCCCUUGACACCAAAAGGAUAACCUACAAAUACAUGUGGAGAAGCCCUUGGAUCAAACUUGUCUCUGUGAGGUUUAGGAAUAGUUGGAUAUCAUAGACAACCAAAACUUCUUAAGUGUGAGUAAUUUGGUUUCUUUCCAUACAAUAAUUCAAAAAGACAUUUGUUCUUUAAAGGUACAAUGGGCAAUCGAUUGAUGAGAAAAGUUGUUGUAAAUACACAUUCUCCCCAAUAUCUCAAAGGGAGUUUGGCUUGAAAUAGCAAGGCUAUGGCAGUUUCUUAUAGGUAUUUAUGCUUUCUUUCUACCAUGCCAUUUUGUUGGGGUGUAUAAGGGCAAGUUCUUUGGUGUUCAAUUCCUUUGGACUGAAAGAAUAGGGUGGCUUCACUACUAGUAAAUUCCAGACUAUUGUCUGAUCUAAUGCACUUUACUCUGGUAGUAAAUUGUGUCUCAACCAUAGAUAUGAAACUUCUGAGAGUGUGUAAUGCUUUUCUCUUACAACUGAGUAGAUGAGUCUAAGUGGAUCUAUUAAAAUCAUCUACUAUAGCAAGAAAGUAUUUAAAAUUGUCAUGAGUGGGUAUAUGAUGAGGUCCCCACAAAUCUAUAUGUAAGAGAUCAAAUAUAGCAGUGGUGUUUGUAACUUUUAAGGGAAAAGAAAGUCUAGUUUGUCUGGCCAUAGGGCAUAUAGAACAAAGAAAAGGUUGUUUUGAUGCAAAGGUCACUGUUAUGUUAGACAUCCCUUUCAUCUUCCAAAAAGGUACAUGCCCAAGUUUGUAGUGCCAUAACAGAUUUAUAUCACUUGCAUCAAUUGAAAAAGAGUCUGAAUCAUAACCCCUGUUUGUUUUAUUGCACGCAAAAGUAUUUACAAUAGAAUAUGGAGACACAAUAUUUACAGUAGAACAGGGGUGACAGUAAUGGGAAGGAAACUAAAUAUUUACAGGAGGACAAGACUGACAAGAAUGAGAAAAUAAUGUGUUGCACUAUCAUCAUUGUUUCUCAUGGAGAAAGAGGAAGUUGCACUCUUCUUUGCUACAUCAGAACUUCCUUUGUUCAAGCAGUCUGAGUAGAGAAGAUAUAACCUAUCAUGAACCUUACCAAUCUCCAGAGGCCUUCUUCAGAGAAGGGGCCGACAGAAGACAACAUGUGUUAGAGAAAGAAGCAAGACAUUUGAGAUGUGCUGUUAAUGAACUAAUAGAGAUAAGAUUGUAUUUGAAAGAAGGAACAAAUAGGACUCUAUAUAAAACUAUUUCAGGUGUAAGAAUCACAGUUCCCACUUCUGUUACUUUGACUUUGUAACCAUUUGGUAAUUUCACAAGUAAAGAAUAAGGUAGGGCAAUUAUAUUCUAUAGGUGUGUCUUGUUAAAGGUCAUGUGGUAUGAAGAUCCUGAGUCUAGAACCCAUAAGUCAGCCUCUGCUUAAAAGCACUUGCAUAAGAGUUUGUCAAAAUCUAUAGAAGAAGUAAAAGUCACAAUAUCUGUAAAGUUUCCUGGAAAGUUUACUGUUCCAUUGGCUACAUUCGUAUUGCUUGAAGUAUCUCAUGCACCAUCACUUUGGAAGUGUUGAAGUAGCCUCACUAUUUGGUCAAAUUGCUCCUUUGAAAGAUUCAUGUUUUGGUUACUGUGACUUCCCUGAUGCUCCAAAUCUUCUCCUUGGUUUGUCAUUACAUCUGUGGAAAUUGUGGUUAUCCCUUGUCUACACUAAAAUGGCAUUCCUGGAUACUACACUAAAAUUAGGCUUCUUUAGAAAGUGAAUUCAAAAUCCAUAAAGUUACCAUAUCGUUACAUCUCUCCCAUUGUCUAAAGUUUAACGACUUCGAAUUAGGUUUUUCAUAUUUCUCAGUGAUGAAGCCUAAUUUGUUUUUAAUAGAGAGGGCCCUCAAUACACCUCUCCUCCAUGAACAAUAUCCUAGCACAUCAAAAGGAACUGGAACUAAAACCAGUCCAUGACUAUCAGAAGGAUGAAUAUAAAGCGGACUACUUACAUCGAUUGUCGAUUGGAUCGCUGUUGUUGUUGCAAUCGUAGUAUUUGGGUCGUCUACCGCCAUGAUUAGUUUACCUUGAAGUAGAAAACGAAAGAGAAGAAACACCGAUUGAACGAGUGAAUGAAGCUGCAGAGAACCUCAAUUGAAUGAGUGUAGCUUCGAUUUGUUUGUUCAUUUGAGGAUUGAUAUCGCACAAAAAAUGAACCCUAAUUUUGAGCAUGAAGAAGGCAAUACCCUGCGCAAUUCAAUUCUGUGGAUCGCUUGAUCGUGAGAACUGCUCUGAUACCAUGUCAAGCUUUGGAAUUACAAGCUUAGAAAGCUUCGUAGCUACAAUGGAGGAAGCAAUUAGAAGCUUCCAGAAUAUCGAUUGAAGAGAAGGAGAAACUGAGAUGGAGUCUCUAAUUGAGAAAAGCGAAACUCAAACUCAAUUAUGUUGCAGCGUAGUUCUUAUAUACAGUGAACAUUAAGCUAACUAACUAAUCCAGAAAUGACAGCUAAGCAUUAACUAACAACUCUAACAACUAACUAACAGCUAACAAUAACUGACUAAAGCAACAGUAAUAAUUAACUACUGAAUAAAUACAAUUCUCUAAUCUUAAUAGAUGAGUUAUGAGUUAUUUACGUGAAAGUACAAAUUUUUAAAAAAACCAUUAUUAUUGCGUUAAUAUCAACAAAACUAGUCUUAAUUGCCUGUUGAUGACAUAUUACUAUAUAUAUUCCCUAUUAAUAAACUAUAAGAUAAGUUAAAUCACCUGAUUAUUUUCCUAUUCGGGCAUUAUUGGUUAACGUUGACAGAUUCAAUAUUACCUAAAUCAAUUAACGUUUACAACUUGAUAUUUCCAUAUUCUUUUUAAGGUCGUUCUACUUUAUUUUCAAAGUGUCCAAGUAUCAUCGUUGACAAAAACUUUAAAAACUGCUUUAUGAUAUUUUAAGGUACAACCUUUUUGUGACCUUGUACAACUUCUAUACUCCUAAUCUUUAACUUUCUGAUGUCAUGAUUUGACUUAAAACAUAGUACGAAAAGAAUAAAUAGAUAUAACUCUUCUUUUUUUUUUUAAAAAAAAAAAAGAAGCAUUAACGAACCAUGGACGAAAUAAGUUUUAUACUGUGGUGGUAAGAAUGAAAUACAAAAAGAUAACUCCUCAAAAGAAAGCAUAGGUUUUUUCUGUUGUCCAGCUUAAUCAAUUGAUGUUGACAAAUAAUUUUACAUCAUUGUAAAAGAUACAAAACAUUUGGCAAAACUUUAAUUUUACCUUUCUUGAAAUAAACAAUUCCUUAUUUUAUUCAUUUAAAAAAAGAUUAAUAUUGUUAGGUGUUUGCCAUAAUUUUCUUAUCAUAUUUGGUUUUCCUAUUUGUUGAAGGAAAGGGUAAUAUAAUUACCUUAAUUGGGUUUUCCUUUUUGUAGAAGGAAAUUAUAAUUCUCCUAUACUUGGUUAGUCCUUUUUCUUGUAGGAAAAUGUUUGGAGUUCUAUAAAUUGAAGAUCUGUCUUUCUCAUUCAGUAGCAUCCACAAUAUAGUCAUAAGAGGCUUGAGAGUAGUGUUUAGGGGGAGAACUUUAGGGGACACGUGUUAGUAUGUAGGGGUGUCAAUGGUUCGGUUCGGCCGGUUAUUUUAUAAAAUUUGUACCAUACCAAUUUUUCGGUUAUUUUAUAAUGUAUAACCAAAACUAGACUUUUCGAAACCAUCCCAAUCAUGUCGGUUUCACUUCGGUAUCGGUACGGUUCGGUUAAUUUUCGGUAUUUUUUAAUGUCAUAUAAAAUUCACCAGUAAAAGUAGAAUGCAAUAACGUACGUUCUUUUAUAGGACUUAGCGAAACUCUCUAGACAUUUUUACUGUUUAAAGGAUAAUGAAUUAAAAAACAAGAAAGAUGGCUAGAGUAUAGAUACACAACUAUUCGACACCAACGUAAAAGAAACCAAGUAAAAGCAAAGAAAAUAUAAAUCACACGAGUAGAAAGAUAUUAACCAAGUUGGGACUCAAGAAUAAAGUCUAUAUUAAAUAUUUAAAAAGAUAAAUCUAAAUUAUAUAAAAGAAAACAUAUUCAAACAUUGUAGUUUGCUACUCAUAAUCGUUAGAAUACUUUGUGUCUUGCUAAUAAAGAUACUUGAAAUAGCUUAGUUUAAGUAUAAGUAGCAGAAUAGGUUUUAGGAAUUAGUAUUUUGAGUUUAAUUACUUACUGGCUUGUAACAGUUUUCAUAAUUCCAAGACCCAAUGAAAAAUUUAAUACUUUAUUAGUUUUAAACUUACUAUAUGAAUAUAUUUUUCACAUGUAAAAUUUAUUCGGUACGGUUCGGUAUUUUUUUGGUUUAUUUUUAUAAAAUAAAAAACCUACCCUAAUUAUCGGUACGGUUAUAGAUUUAUAUAAAAACCUACGAUUUCUUUAAAAGAAACCUAAAAAUCGGUUCGGUGCGGUACAGUUCGGUCGGUUUAGUCGAUUUUCUAAUAUACAUUGACACCCCUAAUAGUGUGUCACUUGUGUUUGCCUCUUCGUGAGGUUGUUCUCUCGAUAUUUUGUACUCUCUUUUUAUAUAGUGGAUUGCUCAUCUCCGCGGUGGACGUAGGUCAGUUGAUCGAACCACGUUAAAUGUUUGUGUCUGUUUUUGGUAUAUUUCUCCUUUUGUUGUUUGACUUAUCGUCGUUCAAGGUUUACUUUGCUAGCUUCCGUAUGACACCUGAUUUUUUCGGUCCUAACAAGUGGUAUCAGAGCGAGAUUCAAGACAGGUUCAUCUUGGCGGGUUCAGUUCUAGCCGCAACAUGUUUGACGAUAAUCGUGAUUUUUUUCUGAGAAAUUUGACCAGUGUGCUAUGCACGUUGAGACAAAUUUUGUGGUGGAGAUUUGGAGAUGCAACCUGUUGAAGGCUAUGUGAAGAAGGUGGAUCAAGUUUAUUUUGUCAGAAAAUUCCGGCCAAGGGGGAGAAUUGUUAGGUGUUUGCCAUAAUUUUCUUACCAUAUUUGGUUUUCCUAUUUGUUGAAGGAAAGAGCAAUAUAAUUACCUUAAUUGGGUUUUCCUUUUUGUAGAAGGAAAUUAUAAUUCUCCUAUACUUGGCUAGUCCUUUUUCUUGUAGGAAAAUGUUUGAAGUUCUAUAAAUUGAAGAUCCGUCCUUCUCAUUCAGUAGCAUCCACAAUGUAGCCAUAGGGGCUUGAGAGUAGUGGUUUAGGGGGGGGGGGGAGAACGUUUACGGGACAAGUGUUAGUAUGUCACUUGUGUUUGCCUCUUCGUGAGGUUGUUCUCUCGAUAUUUUUGUACUUCUCUUUUUAUAUUGUGGAUUGCUCAUCUACGCGGUGGACGUAGGUCAGUUGACCGAACCACGUUAAAUGUUUGUAUCUCUUUUGGUAUAUUUCUCCUUUUGUUGUCUGACUUAUCGUCGUUCAAGGUUUGCGUUGCUAUCUUCCGUAUGACACCUGAUUUUUUCGGUCCUAACAAAUAUAUAUCGUACAAAUUUACUUUUUUUUUCUCUUGUAUUUUCAAACCUAUUUUGAAAAUAUUUUUCUUGAGCCGAAGGUUUAUCGAAAAUCGUCUCUCAACCUGACAAGGUAGGAGUAAGGUUUGCAUACACUCCACCCUCCCUAAACCCCAUUAGCGGGAUCACAUUGUGUAUAUAAUUGUUGUUAAAAUUUACCUAGCAACUAUUGAAUAACAAAUUUCAAGAUUUAUAAGUUUUGUAAUUGACUGAAGGUGGUAUAGAUUAUAUAAACUUUUUAAAAUCCCACUAUGUAAGAAAAAAAGGGGAGCCAAAAGUCAAUAAACUUGGAGUUUGAAUUUUACUUUUAACCUUUUAUUAGAUAGAUAAUCAAUAAAACAAAAACUUCAUCUGUUUGGACUUAAACUAUACAUAAAACUUUUAUUUGUGAUGCUCAUUUUGCAAAAGUGGGACCAAAAAGUCAAAAUAAUCUUUUUCUGUUCACAUUGCAAAGCUUAAAAGGAGAUUGUUUACAAUCGCUAGAGCGAGAGUAUGAGAGCUGAAAGAAGAAGUUGAAAGAGGGAAAAAUGAGUGAAGGUGAAAAAGGUCCAUACUUAAAUAGAGGUUGUCUAAUAUAUAAUGUGUUGCUUUGACUACACGUAUACAUGUCAUAUUAAGUUUGCUUUUAUUGUCACAAAGAGUGACAAGUAUAAUGAUUUUUUAUAUUUAAUAAAUAAUAAUUAAGUUUUUUAGCAUUUAAUUUAUUGCAAUUAUAAUUAUAGGUUCAAAUCUAAUAUUUGUCUAGAUUUUAGUAAAUAUUUUCAUAUAAAUUUAUACUAUUAAAAAUUUAUGGAUUCAAUUGAAUUCGUAUCCGAAAUAUUACAUCCGCCCUUGAGCGUAUCUUGUUAGAGUAAGAAAAUGCCGAGGCACGUGUUUUAGUUUUUGGUUGUCUCACAUUGAAGUAUUUAGUACACACAGUUUGAAUAUAGAUGAAGUGUUUAACAAAUUAUAGGCUUAAUUUAUGUGUUUAAAUGUAAAAUUCGAACAACUUUAAAGGGCGUUCAAUCAAGGAUAAAAAAUAAAAAAAAUUAAUGCCUUGGCUCAAUCCAAUUUAUGCUAACAAGAUAAUAGGUUCCUUCAAUAUGUUUGUAUAGAAAAUAAGAUAACUCUUUUUUUGUUAUGACGAAGAAGAAGCAAACCCGAAAAUAAAAAAGAUAAAGAACACCAAAUUUUAACGUGAAAAUCCUUCAAAUCGAAGGUAAAAACCACGGGAUCACAAAGAUCCAGAAAACUCCAGUAUAAUAAUAAGAGGGUUACAAAAGUUCUCCAAAUUGAAUAUACAACAAGUGCCAAACACGGAGCAACAACUGUAACAAGAGCAACAACUAAUCAAUUGAAGAAAGAGGAGAAUUCACAAAAAUGAAGCUGCUGUUCGAGGCUCGAAAUCAGAUUCUACGAGCCUCCAAAUCCGAUCUCUACCAUUGAAAUCCAAGACCAAGAUGUUACAAACACUCAGUCAGAAUUUCAGCCUGAUCCAACGGUUAACGAAUCAGAAAGCGUGAUUUGANNNNNNNNNNNNNNNNNNNNNNNNNAUGUGCUUAAGUCUUUCAAAGACUUGUAUCAAUGAGCAUAGAAUAAUUCUCCAAGGUUGUCCUAUUUAUAGAUCAUGAGUGGUGCUUUCUCUUAAAGCCAAAACCCACUCAAAAUAGGAAUAAACCGAAUCCAAUUCUAAAUAGGAAUGAAAACCAAAAGAGAAUAGGAUUAGACCAUUGGGCCUUUGGCUGGACAACAUGGGCACGAGCCCAACACUUUUUUCUGUUCAUAACAACUUCAGCAUUCCUUUCUCAUUGGCUUAUGAGCAGAUUUUCAGGAAAUAAAAGAAGAAAAAUAAAGAAAUGCUUAAUAAUACAGAAAUUAAGCAAAAAAUAUUAAUGGUCAAAAUUUUAAAUUGCAGGAUGUUGCAACUUGCAAAGGUCAUGGUUACUAAAUCACUGUGGUAAUUAGGAUGUGUUAUUUUUAUCUCUUUAAAAUAUUAUUAUUAUUUUUAAAAAAAAAUCUAGUUUCUUCUAACACUUGCAUUCUUUAUUAUUCUUAUUAUUGUUGCUUGAUUCUUCUAAAGGUGUUGUUUUUAAAUUAUAUGUUUUGUGAACUAGUUUGUUCAUAACGUUCAUUACAUGGUCUAUUAAUUGAUUUUAUAGUAAUAGAAAUACACAUAAAUUCGGUCCUACUUUAUGGUAAUUUUGUUUCGUAACUUAGAGAUUUUCACUUUAUUUAAAAGCUUUCCACUAGUAUUAAUGUGUAAUUACCAGUUAAUUUGUAAUUGUCAAUAUUUCCAGAAGUUCAAGGACCUAAAUUUUCACAAUCAACCUACUUCGACUUCGUACGAUAUUUGGCGAACUUUCUGUAUACAAUUUAAUAUACUUACAGUAUCAUGAUUCACAUUGUUAGGAGGUACAAAUAUAUUAUACUCCAUAGAUGUGAAUGAUCACGCCUAAUUAUACCUUAUAAAAAGGAUAAUGCGGUCGCUACAAAUAUAUGCCGGUUAACAAGUUCGGAGUCGAAUCCCACAGGGAAUUAACCUAUCAAUCACAGCUAUUGAACUCACAGAAAUUCACGUAUUCAAUCUUCAGAGAUAUUUAAGUAACAGAUUGGAUGUUUACUAACUAAAUAUUACGUAAUGAAAAUGCAGUAAUGAAGAACUAACUAUGAAUGGUUUGUAAACAAGAAUUGGAAUGAUCUAAGGUUCCGAUUUUCCCUAUUGUCGAAAUCCUUUCCUCUACGUUUGCUAUAAAUUUGCCUAAGUCUUCUCUAUCGAUCAUGAGCACUCUGACUGUCGUAACUCUCUACUGAGUAAUUACAACAAUAUAAUAGACAUAUUCUCCCGAAUUACACUAGCUAGCUUUAAGUACAGCUCACUUAGAUCGCACCCAAAGUUUCAUUAUCUCUAAUUCCAUCUUUAAACCCUUCAUAUUGAUCCCUCAUAUACGUUAGGAGUGAUGAUGUUCAACUACUACCUAAAUGUGCACUCUUUCCCGAGUAAUGCACACGAAAUAGGAACAACUAAUUGAGGGCCCUUCAAUCAACAUUAAUAAGCAUAUAGUUGAACAAAUAGAGAGAAUACUAUAUCAAAUCUAUAUUAACGUAACGAGAAAAUCAUCCUUCAACAAGUUCCAUCAAAAUCCUAGAUUAUGAGUUUAGCUACUCAUACUCAUAGUACCAAUAUCCAAAGUAAUUUGCAUAAUUAAAUUACAGAGUAAGGAUAAAGAGAUAUAGAAAUCAAUGAUUCCAACUCCCAAGUAGUGUUCCACGAGCUAUUCUUGUCUUUGGUUGCAAAAGUCCUUCAAAGUGGCAUUAUAUGUUUGGGACAAGCCCUAAACAUGUAGGUCAACUCUUACUCAAGCCGUAAAAUAAUUAAAACCUUCGAAACUCGGACUGGGCCUGGCCUUAGGCCUGGCUAACGCCAGUCUCAGCCUGGCUUUAAGCUGGUGUCACCAGGCUAAUGCCUAGCUAGGCCUAGCUUUAAGAUGGCGUCGCUAGGAUAACGUCUGGUUGGGCCUGACAUUAAGCUGGCCUCGCCAGGAUAAAGCCUGAUCGAGCUGGCUUUUGCCCGGCUUCUCCUUUUCACCGUUCUCGAGCGCACUUUCGACUUUUAAGCUAGCUCUACUUUCAUUUCUGAUGCACCUACACAUAAAAUAGACUCCAUUACGCUCAAACAAAGUAUAAUUUAACAUUAAAACAUGUAAAACACAAAGCAUAUAAUGUGCAAAACCAUGAAUUAUAGCCACACAUCUAUACCCCGCACUUAAAUAUUUGCUCGUCCUCGAGCAAUCAAGCUACACUUAUGGAUACAACCUAUUAAGCAAUUCCCUUAACUUAUUAUACCUAGAAUCUUUAAAAUAGUUUAAGCACAAAGGCGUGACAUCCUCGCCUCAAUAAUCGACUCACAAAUACCAUGCUUUAUUCACAAUUCACUUACUUACUCUAAUAUGGAGGUCGACAACAUUACCUUUCCUUUAUGAAUCAUGUGCCCUCACUCAAUCAAAGAGCUUAGUUUCACACACCAUGAAUUUUAAUAACGUAGGAACUCAAGAUAGGAAAAAUUCACUCGCUCUCAGAAAUAACAUUCAUAUGCCCCAAAUGACGUACCAUAAGCUUGCCAUUAGUGUAAUACUUUACUAAUCGAGUUCAUUCAGUCUAAGAUCAAGUAGGACUUUCAUUAGUUGUAAUGUAGGCUGUGGGUCGGGUAGGAUACAUUUGGAUAUAAGUGACUACACCUCCCUUAAGCACUUUAAUACACAUACUUCAACCNNNNNNNNNNNNNNNNNNNNNNNNNAUGGCUUUUAUUGACACAUUUUUUUCAUCCGAUACACCUUUCUCCUUAUUUCAUUGUUCCACUCAAAAGCCAACCCACUACCCCAUACUUUAACUUUUCCAUAAUUCAUCACAAUUUAAGUGCUUACGAGAGGUGACAAGGUUCAAAUAUAUGGUCUAUUCAAACAACGGGCUAUGGCUUGUAAUGUGGUUACCAAAGAAACAUGAUUAUAGGCUCAAAAGGGUUAACUACGAUACAUAACAUUUAGGCGGGUAAUUUAUAUAUAUCUGGCUUAACAAAGAACUGCCUAUAUCACUUCUCAGACUGAACAAGACUACUAUUUUGCUUUGCACACAUACGAGGCAAGUUCUAGACAUCAAAUGUAAUGCACAGAAUACAUGCGAACCUCACACAGACAUGGCACAUAACUCAUUCAGAAUUGUUUUUAUCACGACACUCCAGUCAAAGCAAUUAAGCAAAUUUAAGGAUCCGCGGUUUAAGGUAUUUAUCCUAGAGUCAAAAAUUGAGCCUAAGCGUCUCAACCAGAGUACUGAAUAUUCUCAAGGCAUCACAAAGCUCAGAGAUAUUGCUUCGAUUAAGUGCUUAGCCACGUGAUUCCUACUCCUAAAAAUUAAAACUACCUACACCCGGUUCGACUAAAAAUCCUUGGAAAAGAACCGCGGCCCAAAGAAAAACCAAGGGGGAAUUACUACACUACAUAAAAAAACUUUUUGGUAUUUUUUUAGACUUACUUCCCUCAAAAAAAUUAUCUAGGAGAUCCAUCGUCGGGAAGAGUCCAACAUAUUUAUGUUUUUUUUAUUUCUGCCUAAAAACGACUAACAGAAAAAAAUACAAUUAUAAUAAAAACAAAACAAGACAAAUUCUAACAACUAAAAAAAAUAAAAACAAGCUAACAACUACUAAUAGCUACGAGUUCUCACCCGACACUUAAAUCAUGCAUUGUCCUUAGUGCAUGCACUUUUAGACAAAACAAGAAAUAACAAGAGUAGGGUGCAAGAAAACUACCUGGUCAAGCAACAUCGUCAUCCUCUGGCGCUCUCCACUCUUAAUCAUGUUUGUCCACUUCAUCAUCACCAUCUCCCUCACCAUCUGACUGUAUUGGCUCCGCCUCAGACUGCUCCGGUGUGUUAACAUCCUCAUCAGUGGGGAGUCUGUAUCCCUCUCCUACACCAACCAGCUACUGAGCAUGAGCAUUGGGUGGGUAUCACUGCUCCAAAUCAGUCCUCUCCUCAGAUGUGGCCGGGCGACCCCCUAUCUGCAGCUACAAAUCCAUCAUCCCAUAAAGAUGGGCCAUGAAACUAUCAUCACACGCAUUGCGCUUAACACCUGUCAGUGUCCCAGCCUUGCCUUUCAGCUGGGGAUUUGUGAUAUCUGUUUGUCGGAUGAGCUGAUCGAUAAUGUGGUCAAAUUCAGGCUCUUCCUCAACCCUCUCAUGCUGUAGGAACCGAGUCAGGAAAUUAGGAAAUGGCAUUCGAUCAAUCUUUUUACUCGUUCUCACUGAAGCCAUCUGGUGGCGAAUCAGGUGACCCACAUUCACCCUCUGCCUUGUCAUAAGAAAAUAUAGCACACAGGUUCUCACACGGCUUACAAGUGUGUCAUGAUUGCAUGGUAGGAGCUGUGUGUUUAUCAACUUGAGCCACACCUGAGCCUCUACCUUCAUCUUCUUCUUAGGGAACCUCUUGUGAUGAUUCGUUUCCUUGUCCCAAACUCAUGCAGCAGUAGAGUCGACCACACAGAGCGUGUGGCUCAGCUCUCUAUAAGUAGGCCUGCUAAUGAAUUGUUCCAAUGACUCCACGGGAAUAUUUGGAGCACCUAAAAAGUCGCAUAUGGCCUUGGGUGAAAAAUCUAUCAAGGGUCCACGGAUUGGAACCAACUCCUCAGUGUCCUGUGGGUCAAACCCCGCAUAGAAUUUCUUGACUAAGUUGAGAUUGAUGUCCCCUGUGUUCUUAAAAACAUAGUUUAACCCCAAAUCCUGGAUGCCUUUCCAAAUCGCCGGAUACUUUGCUUUCACGUUGCGUUCCUAGAUAGCUCCCUCCGAAUGGAUAUGUUUAGGCCUACAGUGCUUGUACCAAUCCCUCGUAUGUGGAGGUAUGUUGUUUAUGCCAAAUUCCCGUUGGCCUGGGGUUGUGGACGCAAUGCAGCUACAGCUGCCAACGCUUGGGCACCAGUCAUACUAGAGGAAUCUCCCCUCUUUCUUUUCUUUAGAGAGGGUGCGUAGGUUGACUUUGCUUUAGCUUGGGCUGUUAAAGUGGCCUUUCCCUUGCCUGUGUAUUUUCUGGAGGCAGCUUUGUUCCUAUACAUAUAAGCAAUAGUCAGAUAAUACUACAUGACACACUACACAUAUAAUCUUCCCCAACUUGACGAGGUUACUCAAACUUUACCUCAUAUUGUCUUAACAUUAGAAUCACACCAGAACACAUGGGCUACCAGUGAGCCACCCCACACUUAAGAUGUUAAUGUGGUACACGAUUACAUAAUACUAGAUUACCAAUCCUGGAGACUCGGGCUCCAAAGGGGACUAGGAAUGACAUAUAGGUAUUUCAUCAAACACUUGACAAACACUAGUGCCAUGGGAGUUCAUAUGGACUUGAGGGAUUGCCUCAUCCUCCAAAAUCAGCUUGGGAGUUCCGUACUACCACAUAUUUUCACAAUCUCAGCACCAUUCCUAAGGGGUUCAUAGGAUUGGGGCACACAAAUACAAUAAGACCAUGAAGAACAACCACCCAUAAUGAAGCACAACCAACAAUAAAGAAUAACUAACAAUGAAGAACAACCCCCAAUCAAUACAUGUACCCAACUCGAAAUUACCAAGAAAAGAGAUAGAAUCAUACAUUUGAAGCUUUGUGAGGAGUAGAUUGCCUUAGAAUUUCGGAUGAGUAUGAAAGACUAGCAAGAUGAAACUUGACCUCUAUGUGGAUGGUGAUUGUGUGUGGGUGAACAAGCAAUUUGUGCAAUAUGUUUGUGUUCUUGUGAAAUUUCUUGUAAAGUUUGGUGUGUGUUGGUUGAAGUGAGGUUAGGGUUUCCUUUGUACAGUGUUCAGUGAGUGAGUGCAUGUUUGUGAUGUUUGGUUCGACCAAAAUAAGGAGAAAUAACUUAAAGAGGGCCGAAAUUACCUACCUGGCAUUUGCCAGGCAUUGCCAGCCUAAGGCCUGGCUGACCCUGGAUUUAGCCAGGCGACGCCAACCUAAGGCCUAGCUGACCCUGACUUUAGCUAGGCGAUGCCAGCCUAAGGUCGGGUUGUCCCUGGCAUUUUCCCGACUUCGCGUGACAUUUAAACCUUGCUUGACUUGCCCAAACUCACCUGCAAACUUGUUAGUAUCUAAAAACAAAAAGAAAAGUUCUAACUACACUAAAAAUCAACUAUGAAUUGGGUUGCCUCCCAACAAGCGCCUUAGUUAACAUCGUGGCCCGACGAAUACAACAGUCCAAUGGGUUGCCUCCCAAGCACGAUGCAGAUACGCGCAUUUAAGUAUGCCCAACAUCGGAGGCUCGAUCAAAUGGAUCACUGACACUACCUUUGCUUCAUUUAUGCCCAUAUAAUAUUGUAAUCUGUGCCCAUUGACUCUGAACGUGCGAGAGUCAUUAUCCGCAGCAAUCUCUAUGGCACCCGUGGGGUGAAUUUCAACCACACGAAAAGGCCCUGACCAAUGUGAUUUUAAUUUGCUCGGAAAUAACCUCAGUCUUAAAUUGUAUAGAAAUAUCGUAUAUUUGGGUUUAAAACUCCGCUCAAUAAUAUUUCUAUCAUGUAUCAUCUUCAUUCUCUCCUUAUAUAAUCUUGUGCUCUCAAAAGCGUGAUAUCGGAAAUCAUCAAGUUCGUGAAACUCCGUUACUCUACUUGUUCCCACAACUUCAAUAUCAAGAUUCAACUAUCUCAAUACCCACCAAGCUCUAUGCUCCAACUCCACCGGUAAAUGACACGCCUUCCCAAACACCAACUUGUAUGGAGACAUGCCGAUUGGAGUUUUGAAAGCGGUUCGAUAAGCCCACAGCGCAUCAUCUAAUUUUCUCGCCCAAUCUAUUCUAGUAGCAUUCACAGUCUUAGUCAACACACUCUUUAUUUAUCUGUUCGAAACUUCCACUUGACCGCUUGUUUGUGGAUGAUAUGGGGUGACCACCUUGUGGCAUACAUCAUACUUCUCUAACAACUUCGCGAAGGCUCGAUUAUAAAAGUGAGUGCCUCCAUCACUGAUUAUUUCCCUUGGAGUGCCAAAUCGGGUGAAUAUGUUCUUUCUCAAAAAGCCAAUUACCCCAUUUGCAUCAUUUGUAGGGAGUGUUGCAGCUUCCACCCACUUAGACAUGUAGUCCACAACAACGAGUAUAUAUUUGUUGCCAUAUGAGCUGACGAAAGGCCCCAUAAAAUUGAUGCCCCAUAUAUCAAACACUUUAACCUCCUGAAUUGUGUUCAUGGGCAUCUCAUGUUGGCGGGAAAAGAUUCCCGGUUCGUUGGCAUUCAUCAUACCUCUUUAUCCAUAAAUGUGCAUCUUUGAACAAUGUUGGCUAGUAGAAGCCUGACUCUAAGGCUUUCACAGCUAUCCUUACUCCCCCGAAGUGCCCACCAUAUGGUGACGCGUGACAUGCCUGCAAAAUAGAAGACUGGUCUAUCUUGGGGAUACAUCUCCGGAUCAUGUUAUCAAUACAAAUCCUAAACAGAUAAGUCUCAUCCCAAUAAUACAUGCGACAAUCACGAAAGAACUUUUUCUUUUGGAUAGAGGAAAUGUCAUAAGGAACAAUAUCGCUCGCCAAGUAGUUUGCAAUGUCUGCAUACCAUGGCGCUCAAGACUCAUGGUUAGUAGUUGUUCAUAUGGGAAAGUUUCCAAAAUCUCCUCUACCUCAACCUUUUUCUCAGCUCCUUCCAGCCUAGACAAAUGAUCAGCUACUUGGUUUUCCGUUCCCUUUCGGCCACGGAUUUCCAAAUCAAAUUCUUGCAGCAGUAGUACCCAUCGAAUCAGGCACGGUUUUGACUCCUUCUUCUCAAUUAAGUAUCUGAGAGCAGCAUGGUCAGUAUAAACAAUUACCUUCGAGCCUAUCAAGUAUGACCUAAAUUUGUCAAAUGCGAACACUAUUGUCAGCAUCUCCUUCUCGAUCACAGUGUAAUUUAGCUGGGCUUCACUCAGCGUUCUACUUGUAUAGUAUAUUGGAUGCAUGAUUUUAUCUUUGUGCUACCCCAAGAACUGCUCCCACAGCAUAGUCACUCGCAUCACAUAUCAUCUCAAAUAGUUUCUCCCAGUCAGGGGCAACUAUGAUCGGUGCUAUUACCAGUCUCUUCUUUAGUUCCUCAAAUUCUACCCUGCAGUCAUCAGAAAACACGAAAGAGUGAUCCUUUUCAAGCAAUUUACACAAGGGGUUAGAAUUUUGGAAAAAUCUUUUAUAAAUCUCCUAUAGAAGCCGACGUGCCCAAGGAAACUUCUAAUUGCUUUGACGGAAGUGGGUGGUGGAAGCUUUUUUAUCACAUAAACCUUUGCUUGAUCUACCUCAAUGCCCUUACUUGACACUAGGUGCCCCAAGACUGUACCUUCCUGUACCAUGAAAUGACACUUUUCCCAGUUGAGUAUCAGAUUCUUCUCGAUACACCUCUUCAAUACUCUUCUUAAGUUUAUAAGGUAGUCAUCAAAUGAAUUCCCCACCACUGAGAAAUUAUCCAUGAAAUCCUCCAUUAUUUUCUCUACCAUAUCCGUGAAGAUGGCUAUCAUGCACCUUUGGAAUGUGGAAGGUGCGUUGCAUAGGCCAAAUGACAUUCUCCGAAAAGCAUAGAUUCUAUAAGAGUAGGUGAACGAUGUUUUUUCUCUGUCCUCCGGGGAAAUAGAGAUCUGAUUAUACCCCGAGUACCCAUCCAAAAAGCAAAAGUGGGAUCUCCCUUCCAAUCUAUCUAGCAUCUGAUCAAUGAAUGGCAGUGGGAAAUGGUCUUUCCUGGUAGCCAAGUUCAACUUCCUGUAAUCCAUAUAGAUUCGCCAACCUGUGACUGUUCGUGUAGAGAUCAAUUCGUUCUUCUCAUUUUUCACUACCGUCAUACUUCCCUUUUUUGGCAUACACUGAACUGGGCUAACCCAUUUGGUGUCAGAGAUGGGGAAUAUGAUUCCCGCAUCUAACCACUUAAUCACUUCUUUCUUCACCACUUCUUUCAUGUUGGGGUUCAGCCUUCUUUGAUGUUCUCUAGAAGGUUUGUGCCCAUCUUCCAGUAAAAUCUUAUGCAUACAAAAGGCCGGGUUGAUCCCCUUAAUAUCUAUAAUGGUCCACCCAAUUGCAAUCUUGCACUCAGUCAGUACCUGCAAAAGCUGUUCUGCCUGCAUAUCUAAUAAACUAGAUGGGAUAAUAACAGGUAAAGUUGAGUUAGGUCCUAAGAAUGCAUACCUAAGAUGAGAUGGCAGUGGCUUCAAUUCCAACUUUGGUAGCUCUUCUAUCGAUGGCUUAGCUGGAGGAGUUUUUCUUUCCUCUAAGUGAAAAGGCUCAAAUUUGGGCUCCCUUCUCCAAAAACCUUGGCCUUCAAGAGCAAGUAUCUACUUUGCCAAGUAUUCACCAUUAGCUUCAUAUAAGUUCAUGAGAUAGGCUGCUAGAGGGUCUUUAGUGUUCAAUGCCUCAUCUUCCUCCUCCAAAACUAUAUCCAUGUCAUCUAUAAGAGAGCAAUUAGCAAAUUCUCUUGGUCGCCGCAUCGAUUUAUGCAUGUUGAAUGUUAUCUCUUCAUCAUUUAAUCUCAUUUUGAGCUCUCCAGUUUCACAAUCAAUUAAAGCUCUCCCAGUGGCCAAGAAUAGUCUUCCCAAAAUUAUGGGAAUUUCCUCGUCAACCCGACAUUCUAGAAUAACAAAAUCUGCUGGGAAUACAAACUUCCCAACCUGUACUAAUACAUCAUCAAUAAUACCAAAGGGCCUAUUCACUGUCUGGUCAACUAGCUGUAGUAACAUAGACGUGGGUCUAGCUCUCAAUGCCUAGCCUUUUGUAGAUAGCUAGGGGCAUAAGGUUUAUGCUUGCUCCCAGAUCAUACAAUGCCUUAGCAAAUGCAUAGUUGCCUAUCGCGCAUGGGAUUGUGAAACUCCCUAGGUCAGACAACUUCUCAGCUAUGGGUCUCAUCACAACAACACUACAGGUCUGAGUCACUGUAACCGUGGCCAACUCUUGAAAGUCGAACUUGCGGGACAUCAAGUCCUUCAUCAUUUUCGCAUAACCAGGCAUCUCCUUUAAUGCAUCAAUCAAUGGAAUGUUUACCUGAAUUUGCUUCAACAUCUCCAAGAAUUUCUUGUACUGCUCAUCUUUUUGAUACUUGACCAAUCUCUGUGGGAAUGGUGUUGGAGGUUGCUUCUUCCCUGUGAUUUGAUUUUUUUUCUUGUUCAGGCACUGCUUCUACUAUAGGUUCCGGUACAACCUCAGUCUCUUUCACAACCUCUUGUUUUUUGCUGGCAUCUUACGCAUGUUGUAUUGUCACCUCAGUUAACCCUGCUGAAUCAUCUAUCUCAAUGGGUACUGGCACCAGUGUCUCAGUCGGUCUGCUUUCGCAAGCAAUUUCUUGCUCCAGAUCUAGGUCUCUACCAUUUCGGAGAUUCACUGCUAUAAGCUGCUUCGAGCCCUGCUCUUUUGGAUUGAUUUGUGUGUCUGCAGGUAACGUCCCGUGGGGACGAUUAUUUAAGGCCAUAGAAAUCUGUCCUAAUUGGAUUUCAUUAUUCUUUAUCACUGAUUCAUGUGAGUCUACUCUGUCAGUUACUUUUCUAGUGGACCCAAUCAUUUGUUGCAUCAUUCCCUCAAGUUUAGCAAACCUAUCUUCGUGUCUCACAGUCUGUUGUUGUUGAGGUUGUUGAUAAGCCUGCUGCUGAUUUUGCUGGUUGUAACCCUGUUUCCUUUGGUAAGGCACCACUUGACCCUGUGGUCGCAUAGCCCCAAGGUUAUUGCUGUUGUUGUACUGAUGCUGAGCUGGCCUAUAUUGUUGAUUCUGCUAACCCCAAUUCUGACCACCUUGCCUCUGUCCCCCAUAGUUGGCCACAUAAUUCAUGCUCUCUUGAUAUUGUUGGUUAUCACCUUCCGCACUCCACAAGCAGACAUAUGGUUGAUUAAUGCAUGAUGUACAUAAGCCCCCAUUAGUUGCAUCAACUAUGUGUACCAGCUGCUUCUGGCCUGAUUUAUCAACCUCUUUGGUGAAGAUGCUCAUUUGUGUCACUAGAGUGGCCAUAUUUUUAGCUAUGGAGUUAGUUGGGUCUAAAGCCACUGAGUGAACUACAAGAGUGAUUGGAGCAUUUCUUGUUGUCCAUCUUGAGUUUUGUGCCAUCUUGUCCAGUCAUAUCUUGCUUUCUCUGAAUGUUUUGCUAAAAAAUGCUCCAUCUGCUGAAACAUCAACAUUGGCUUUCAAUCUAUCUGCCAAACCCAUGUAAAACCUCUGCCCUAACAUUUGCUCCAGAAUACCAUGAUGUGGACAUGUAACCAGCAGACCCUUGAACCUCUCCCACGUUUCUUGUAAUGUCUCUGUUGGUUUUUAUAUGAAGCUCAAUAUCUCAUCAAUUUGUUAAGCAGUCUUGUUGGGUGGGUGAAAUUUGUUCACAAAUUGUUUGACUAAUUCCUCCCAAGUAGUGAUGGAAUUUAUGGGGGAGUGAAUUAAGCCAAGUCUGAGCCAUUCCUAUCACUGAGAAUGGAAACAAGAACAGUCGUAUUGCUUCCGUUGUCACGUUAUGUUGCCUCUGUGUGGCACAAAUUGAUAGGAAAUUCUUUCAGAUGCUACUGAAGAUCUUCAACGUAUGACCCCGAGAACAGUCCCUUUUUCUGCAACAAAUGUAGCAUGUUAUUUGUGAUUUGGAAUAAUUCUGCUUGUAUCUGAGGGACUACAAUUGCAGUUGAUAAGUUGUUAGUGGUGGGUUGUGCCCAAUCGUACAAUGCUGCUUCUAGCACAAGCGGCACCACACCCUGAUUGUUCGGGUCAUCCCCAUUAUUUCUGUUGUUUAUUUCAUCUCCCAUGUCUGGUUCAAUUAGUUCUAUUGAGUUCUAUGUGUGUUUGCCUUUCUUGUUUGCACGAUUCAAUGCCUUGAAAACUUUCUCAGGAUCUGAUAAUGCUUCAAACAAUUCACCAGUUCUUGAGGAGUUUCUAGGCAUGCAACUGUAACACCCAAGACUAUAAAUGUUAGAAUUUCAAUGAAUUUAGUUUAAAUUGAAGAAAAUUGACUACACUAAGAAUUUUUGCACUACUUUUUAACUGCAAUUAAUAACACCGUUAAUUUUCCGGCAACGACGUCAAAAUUUUAUCAUGCCCAACUAUACCUUAUAAAAAGGACAAAGUGGUCGCUGCAAAUAUAUUCGGUUAACAAGUCCGGAGUCGAAUCCCACAUGGAAUUAACGUAUCAAUCACAACUAUUGGACUCACAGAAAUUCACGUAUUCAAUCUUCAGAGAUUUUUAAGUAACAGAUUGGAUGUUUACUAACUAAAAAUUACGUAAUAAAAAUGCAGUAAUUAAGAACUAACUAUGAAUGAUUUGUAAACAAGAAUUGAAAUGAUUUAAGGUUCUGAUUUUCCCUAUUGUCGGAAUCCUUUUCGCUACGUUUGCUAUAAAUUUGCCUAAGUCUUCUCUAUCGAUCAUGAGCACUCUGACUGUCGUAACUCUCUCCCGAGUAAUUACAACAAUAUACUAGACAUAUUCUCCCGAAUUACGCUAGCUAGCUUUAAGUACAACUCACUUAGAUCGCACCCAAGGUUUCGUUAUCCCUAAUCCCACCUUUAAACCAUUCGUAUUGAUCCCUCAUACACGUUAGGAGUGAUGAUGUUCAACAACUACCUAAAUAUGCACUCUCUUCCGAGUAAUGCACACUAAAUAGGAACAGCUAAUUGAGGGCCCUUCAAUCAACAUCAAUAAGCAUAUAGUUGAACAAAUAUAGAGAAUACUAUGGAAAAUCUAUAUUAACGUAACGAGAAAAUCAUCCUUCAACAAGUUCCAUCAAAAUCCUAGAUUAUGAGUUUAGCUACUCAUACUCAUAGUACCAAUAUCCAAAGUAAUUUGCAUAAUUAAAUUACAGAGUAAGGAUAAAGAGAUGUAGAAAUCAAUGAUUCCAACUCCUAAGUAGUGUUCCACGAGCUAUUCUUGCCUCUGGUUGUAAAAGUCUUUCAAAGUGGCAUUUUCUGGUCUAUUUAUAUGUUUGGGACAAGCCCUAAACGUAUAGGUCAACUCCUAGUCAAGCCGGGAAACAAUUAAGACCUUCAAAACUUGGACUGAGCCUGUCCUUAGGCUUGGCGUUGCCUGGCUAAUGCCAGCCUCAGCCUGACUUUAAGCUGGCUAAGGCCUGGCUAGGCUUGGCUUUAAGCUGGUGUCGCCAGGCUAACGCGUUGGACCUGGCUUUAAGCUGGCCUCACUAGGCUAAAGCCUGGUCGAGCUGGCUUUUGCCCGCCUUCUCCUUUUCACCGUUCUCGAGCGCACUUUCGAUUUUUAAGUAUUACUUUAGCUCUAAUUUCAUCUUUGAUGCACCUUACGCAUAAAAUAGACUAUAUUACGCUCAAACAAAGUAUAAUUUAACAUUUAAAUAUAUAAUACGCAAGUCACGUGCAAAACCAUGAAUUAUAGCCACACAUCAGUGAACUUCAAUGUUUCUUUAAAGAAAAAUCAUGUUUCACAUUCUUAAAGGUUAUAAUAUAUCACAUUACAUUGAUUUGUAGCACUAACGUUUAUUUUUAUAAAAAAAGAAUAGAAUUUAACUUUUCAAUUCAGUUACAUAACAAUCUUAUUCUUCUGUACCGCCUACCGACCCCAAUAGAACCAUAUUCCUUGAAAAAGCCAAUAAAAAAUUGAACAUAGCACCAAUAAUAUUCUUCCAUUACAAAUAAAUUAUAGUUAACUACUGCCAAAUUUAUCUAUAACAGUCAUACUUUAUAAUAAUACUUUACUACAACGGUCAAAGUUUGUCUUUCAAACCAAUUUUUCUUACCUUUUAAGAUUUGCUGCAUUUUCAUAAAGUCAUUGGGCCACUCGUACGGAAUGGACGAAACACAAAUAAAAUAUUUUUUUUGACCUGAACAAUAAAAGAUUUAAGAACUUUUUAGCAUUGUUGGCUGAAAAAUCUGAUGAUCCUCAGAAUUUCUGGUGCUUCAAAAUUCUGGCGCUGGAAUCAAAAUUCUAGAGACGGACUACUUUUCAUAACUGGGUCAAAACUCAAAAUAAACGAAGGUUUUAAAAAGUUCUAAGCAUAAUUUUCGUAAAAAUAGCACGAGCUAGCCAGUUUUCGAAUUGGUAAUUAAAAAUAGCCACUGUUAGCAAACUCAUUAAAACAUAGCUACUAUUUUGCUGCAACACGGAAAGUUCCAGCAUAAUAUACCGGAGAUUGAUGCAUCUGUGUAUGAACUUCUCGCAUAUUAUGCUGGAACUCCAUCACACGGAAAGUUCCAGCAUAAUAUACUGGAGAUUGAAGCACCUGUGUAUGAACUUCCAGCAUAUUAUGCUGGACCAGUAUAUUAUGCUGGACCAGUAUAUUAUGCUUGAAGUUCACAUUUAAAAAAUUCGAACUCCAGUAUAUUAUGCUGGAAUAUUUUUCGAAUUUUGAACAGUAUUUUUGUUCAAAUUUAUCUUUACAUAAAAGUAGCUAAAUUUCAAUUACUUUUGUAACUGUGACUAUUUUUUAAUUACCACUUAUAAAUCUGGCUAUUUUUAAAUUUCACCCAUAAUUUUCUGCUACGGAAUCGUAUUGUGUCGGCGUCCUUGCUAUUACUACUACUUACCAAUUUAUUUCUAUGAGAUCCAAAAAGGACCCACAUUCAUAAAUGCAGAUUUAGGUCCUCAUUGAUUAGGCCCAACCUCACCUAAUAGGCCCAUCUGGUCCAACAAUCUAAAAUUCUUCUCUAACUGUUAGAGCUAUUUAUUUAUGAUUUUCAUUUUUCAAUUUUGACAAUAAUAACAGAUACUACUAUUAUUAAGGAAGAAUACAAGUGUUAUCAAGUAAGCUUUUGUUGCACAAGUCUAAGCAUAAUUCAAUGAUUUAGGCGUUUUGGUCGUGUAGUAUUAAGGUUUUUUUUUUUUUAAUUAUUAUUAAGGAAUUCUUAGAGCAUCACUGGAAUUCAUGUCAAAUAAUAAGUUCCAAAUUUAACUAGGUAAACUUUUAUCCUUCCCUCAUUUUGACAUAUAUACAUAAUAUAAUUUUUCAGCAAAUAGUAAUCAAUUGAUCAUCCUUUAUUUUAUAUAUUUAUCUAUAUUUAUACUAUGUUAAAAGCACGAAUGCCCUUAGCGAAAUAUCGUUCGCCUUUUUUACCGAAUUGAUUUUGCACUAUAUAAAAUAGUCAUUUAAACCAUUUCCCUAAUAUUUAGGACUUGAAAAUUAACUACAAUUUGUGUGUAUCGACCCGACCGGUCAUUUUGAGUGCUAGCCUUAAUUUCCUUAUUUUGAGACCUCUUAUAGCUUCUAUUAAUAUUUUUUGAUUUGCGUGCGUAGUCCAUAUCAUUUUUCGGAAACUUUUUACGUAAUAUUUUGAAGAAAAUGUAAUUUUUGGCCUAAAAUUGGACUUGAGUUGACCAAGACCAACAUUUUUAAUAAAUGACCUCAGAUCAGAGUUUUGACGAUUCCAGUAAGUUCGUAUAAUAUUUUUGAACUUGUACGCACAUUUGGUUGGGGUUGAGGUGACUCGAGCGUAUUUCAGCCCAUUAAGUGAAAAGUUAUGAAAAUGAGUUUUAAGUUGAAUUUUUUGAGUUUUGAUGGUCGAUUCGUAUUAUUUGAUGUUAUUUUGAUGAUUUGAGGUAGCGAGCAAGUUUGUAUAAUGAAUUACACUUGUGCAUAUUCGAUUUUGAGUCCGAAGGGCUCGGGUGAGUUUCAAAUAAGUUAUGGAAGAGUUUGGAUGAUUAUUGAACUGUUGGUGCAAGGCUUUGCUAGUGGAAGCCUGCAGAUAUCGUAAUUGUGAUGUCAGGCUCACAUUUGCAAGCCUCGCUUUUACUGUCAUUAGAUCACAUUUGUGAAAGAGGGAUUGGGGGUUGGACCACGCAUUUGUGAGGAGAAGUUUGCUUUUUGCAAAGGAAUGUGUGUCGCUUUUGCGAAUGAUUUAGUCGCAUUUGCAACCACUCGGCAUUUUGGGUAGCUUCUCAAAUGUGAAGCAAUUAUCCGCAUUUACGAAGGUGGGCAUUUUGCAUAUGCGAUAAGUAUGUCGCAUGUGCGGCUUCACUGGGCCUGAUGCAUUGAUCGCAUAUGCGAUCAAUGUGUCGCAAUUGGGGGCAUCACAGUUCGCCAAUGCGACACCUGCUGCUUGGUAGAGAGGGGGAAAACAGGACUUAGCUUAUUUUACACCAUUCCUCAACCCUAAACACUUUAGAGGCAAUUUUCUUGAGAGCUUUUCAUCCCAAAUUCUUUGGUAAGAAACUCUAAUUUUUUGUAUAUCAAUUCUCCAUUACUUUUCAUGAGUUUCUAACAUCAAAUCUAUGAAUUUCAAAGUAGAAUUGGGGGUUUUGGGUAGAAUUUAGGAAUUUUGUAAAUAUUGAGACUUAGACCUCAAAUUGAGGUCGGAUUUCAAAACAAAUUAUAUAGCCGAGCUCGGUGGUGAAUGGGUAAUUGGAUUUGGUUCGAAUCUCGGAUUUCUACCACGCGGGCUCGGGAUUGACUUUUUCAAAAAUAAUCAAAAUUGAACCUUUUUCAUUCGUUGGUAGUUUCUAAAGCUUGUUUUGAAUUAAUUGAAUGAUAUUUGACUAGAUUCAAUUGGUUGGAAGCUUGUCUUAAAGGAAAAUAUUGUGCUUGAUUGUUGAUUGUAUUCCGGAAUGAGGUACAUGUCUUGCCUAGCUUUGUUGAGAAAAGUUUUCCUACUAAAUGAUAUUGUUUGCUACAUAGGGGGUAUUGCAUAUAUGAGGUGACGAGCGUAUACACAUGUGGCAGGGUUUCCAUGCCCAGAAAGGGGAAAGUAUAUGCUUUCUUUAUGCUUGGUGAAUUUAGUAAUUCUUUGACUUAUGCUUUAUUUAAUACUAUGACUAAUAAACUCAAUUAAUUGUGUUAGAAAUCAUGUUAGAACAUAUGACAUCUUAAAAGGAAUUUAAUGUGUUUUUUUCGGACUGUUUACAUACUUGAUUGAUCGUAACUUCAUGAAUACCCAUUAUAUCUAUUAUUGUCUUGCUACCUGAGCUUCUAAUCUGUAACAAGAGAUGUAACAAGAGAUGAGGAUUGGGGUCUUAGGGCUAUGUUUGGCACAAGGGUUAUUUUCGUGCGCUCGUUAUGGUGUUGGCACGAUGAAUAUUGUCAUGUUGUAUGAGAUAAGAUUGGCCAGUUGGAUGUUACCGUGUGAGAAGAAUUGGAUUUUCUGCUAUGAUUUCUCGUUCGUUAAACACUUACAUGUCCUCUACUUGGGUCUCUAUUAAUGUUGUUAUUUUGUGUGUUACUUUCUUGUUUGUGCUCUUUGUAUAGUUAUCUUCGUGUUUCCCAUUUGACCUAUUACUGGGAUAUCUAUGUGUAACAAUCCGACCGAUCGUUUUGAGCAUUUUCAUUUCUUCGGUGAUUCGAGGGUAUGAGUUGCUUCGUAUGAUGUAUUAUGACUUGUGUGAAUCAUUAAUUUUGAUUUUCGGGUGAUUGAGAUUGAUUUAGAAGAGUAAUUCUCAUUUUAGAAUUUUUAAGUUGGAAGAGUUGACCAAAUUUGACGUUUGUGUAACUGACCUUGAAACAGAGUUUUGAUGAUUUUAUUAGUUCCGGAUGGUGAUUUUGGACUUGGGCAUAUGCAUGGAUUUGCAUUUGGAUAUUUUUAGAAGGUUUUGGCGCUAAUUGGCGAAAGUUGGCAAUUUAAAAGUUUGGAAAGUUCAUAAGUUUGACUGGGAGUUGACUUUGAUGAUAUCAGAUUUGAAUUGUUAUUUGGGGAGUUGGAAUAGGUCCGUUAUGUCAUUUGGAACUUAUGUGCAAAAUUGGAGGUCAUUCUGAGUUGAUUUGAUAUGGUUCGGUACGAGUUUUGGAAGUUAAAAGUUUAAAAGUUCAUCAAGUUUGAUUUGAGAUGCAAACGGUUUUGAGGAUGUUAUGUGAGAUUUUGAGGCAUUGAGUAGGUCCGUGUUAUUCUUUGAAACUUGUUGGUAUGUUCGGACGGGGCCUUGAGGGGCUCGGGCGAGUUUCAGACGUGGUUCAGAAAAUUUUGGAAUUUACUGGUGAAUGCUGGUUUUGGCUAAGUUCUUGUGUGACCGCACCUGCGAAAACAUGGGCGCAGGUGCGAAGCCACAAAUGUGGCAAGCAUAGCACAGAAGCACAAAAUGGAAUUGGGAGCAGGGAUUCGUAGAUGCGGAAUUUUGGCCGCAUGAGGCAGCGCAGAUGUGAGGUCCUUGGGCGCAGAAGCGGAAAAAGGGGCAGAAGGGAGGUUUUCCUCACACCUGCAUUUGCGCAGAAGCGAAAGAAUUUCUGCAGGUGUAAGAGGUCGGCUAUUUGGUAUUUUUCUGCAAAAUCGGACCUUUUGUCGCAGAAGCGAUGCCAUAGAAGCUACAGGUGGUUCGCAAAAGCGAAAUGUUUAGGCAAAAGCUUAUAAAUUCGAGGGUUUGUUUAUUUUGUCAUAUUUUGAGUUGGGGACUUCGGAUUUUGGCGAUUUUGGAGGCAUUUUUUACCACAUGGAGUGGGAUAAAUAUUUUUGACACGGUUUUGAUUAUAUUCCAUGAUUCCAUCUUCGAUUUUGGCAUUUGAUUGAUGAUUUUAAAAGAGAAAUUGGAGAGUUUUUAUCUAAACUUUCCUAAAGUGAAUAUUUGAGUUUUGAACAUCAAUUCAGAGUUAGAUUUGAGUGAAAUUAGUGUGGUUGGGCUUGUAUCCGAAUGGAUUAUCGGAAUUUGUAAAUUUUAUCGGGUUUUGAGGUGCGGGUCUGGGUUGACCUUUUGGGUUGACUUUAAGUUUUGAUUAAAUAUUCGACCUUUAUCAUUUGGGUUGGUUUUUUUUGACAUUAUUUGAUGUUUUUGAGUUGCUUUUGGAUACUUUCAAUCCAUUCAGAGGUUGAUUUACGCGAGAUGGCAUUUCUAGAGUGUUAUUUAGUUUGCUCGGUAUAUGAUUUGGCUUGUUCGAAAUAAGUAACAAUUCUAAACUUGAAAUUAAGGGUAAUUAUUCUUGUGAACCAUGUUAUUAGUGACGUGUUUAGGUAACACAUAUGCUAGGUGACGGGCGCGUGGGUGUGCACUGGGGUAAUCAUGAUUCAAGUUGAUUUUUAGACUAGUACUCUACUUGUUCUGCUACCAUUCCCUGUUACAUCCAUGUUUUCCCCUAGUUGUUGCUUAUUUGAGCUGUAAUUCACAUUAGAAAUCAUGUUUAGGCUAUGUACUUAUUCGAUUGAGACCUAACUAGGCUAUUUAUGAUAUUUUGAGUUAUCUGAUUUAACUGUAAUUAUAUACUCAGUCAUGAUUUUCCAUUUGCAUAUCAUAUCUCAUUCGUUGUUCAUCGUUCAUUGUUACAUCGCAUGUUAUCAUUGAUCUUCCAUAUGUGGAGUUGUUGAGCUGAGUGGUAUGACAUUGUGAGCCCUUGAGACUUGAGUGGUUGAUGACUGAGGUGGGCCUUAGAGCCGUGUAGUGUUGCUGUGGAUCGGGCUGCAUGCCGCAGCAUGCCAUAAUGGCUUUAUUACUACUACUAUUAUUAUUGUAGAUUAGGCUGCAUGCCGUAGCAGGCCUUAUUGGCUUUUGAUUAGCGCUUGGGUAGGAUCCGCCCCUCUGGAGUCUGACAUACCAGCAAUGAGCACAUGCACUGUGAUAUAUACACAUACUUUGGUGAGGGACUUAUGAGCCAGGCACCCGUACAGUGUUGAGUGAUUGUGUGUGUGUGUGUGAUAAAGUAGGAAUUUGAGACAGACAACUUGAGUAUGUUGGGAGUGAGAGUACCUGGGGAUAGCACCAUGAAGUCAUUCAUUUAACAAGCGUACUUGGCAUGUAGGCAUAGAGAUGGAUUUUUCUCAUGUUAGACAAUAAUGCGACAUUUAUAAUUUGACAUGUAGGCAUAGAUUUGUAUAUUCCUCAUGCUACAUGAUAUAUGAUGAUUGAUGAUUUGACAUGUAUAUUGACAUUUAGGCAUAAAUAUGUACUUUCCUCAUGCUAAUUGGUAGAUAGAGAUUCUUAUAUGGUGUUGUUAAUUGGGAAUACAGUUCUUUUGAUAAACUCAUGUUCAGAUGUUUUUCAGUAGUUUGAUUUGAAAUUGGUUAUUUUACCUGAAAAGCAUGCCUACUUUUUUGUAACUGUGAACAAGUUGAGCAUAUAUCCCUUGAGUUAUUUACCUUUGUUGUUCUCAUUAUUUUAUUACGAGUUAUUAUUGGCUAUUGGUGUUGGAUUCUAACCGUCUUCUGAUCUUGUCACUGCUUUCAAUCUAAGGUUAGGUUUGUUGCUUAUUGAGUACAUGAGGUCGAUUGUACUCAUAUUACAAUUCUGCACCUUGCGUGCAGAUCUUGGAGUUGAUGUUGCUAUGUAUAGCGGGAGCUGGCAUUGAACAUCUACAUGUGUUCCGGUUAUAGCUACCAUUUAUACUUGGUAGCUCUAGAUUUGUAAAUCUGCUAUGUAUAUUUUGAACAGAUGAUGUAUUUAUUUUGUACCAGCUUUGUAAACUCUAGGUCUUAGAAGCUCAUGACUUAUACUACUAAAUCCUUAGGAGAUUGAAUAGAAAUUCAGUUAUUUUUACUCAUUUACUCUUAUUAUUCUCAUUUGAGUUGUGUUGAAUGCUACUUGGCUUACCUAGCGGAUUGGGUUAGGUGCCAUCACGACUAGUUGGAUUUUAGUAUUUCUGUAUCAUAAUUGAUUCUAUGUUUCAGUUCCGAGGGAUUAAGAAACGUCUUUAGUUCAUAGAAGGUAUCUUCGGAGUGGGUAUCUUGAAUGUAGUAUUUUGGGUGCUUAAGAUGGAAUACAGUAGCUUAUGGGCUUUAGGGCGAUGUGGUUUCAUGAUAGAAUCUCUUGUGGUGAGUUUUGGUUAAGGGUCAUAGUGUAAUGGCAAGGAGAAGUGUUAUCUCGAAAGCAAUUCGGAAGGCUUAGUAUUAGGUUGGAUCAGUAUGAUGAUGGUAUGAUCUGUUCUUUUGGUUCUUGUGAUACGGUGAGGCUUUACUAAUGUUGUGUGGUAAUACACUUGGGUUUGCGACCUACGUGACUUCGUUGAGUUAGAUGGAUUCAACUUUGAUGGUCCGGUCUUGUGCCAAUGGGUUUCAAAGAGUUCUCAAUGAUUCCUAACACGGUUUGAGAUGUAUAUCUUCUAUAGGCAUAUGGAGUUUAUUGUGCGUUGUGAUUUUUCUCCUAGAUGAGAUCAGGUGGAAGGUUUCUGGCGGAUUGAGUCUAUAUCUUGCUUGUGGCUCAGAGUUGUUAAUGGGAUUCUGAUGCUUUUACAUUAUGAUAUGUUAGAGACGGUGUAUCGUGUGGGAUUCAGAAGUGCAUGUACAAGUUUGUGGUUCUGUAUCGAAAGGAAGGUCAUGAGUUCUAGGCAGCAUAGACAGUUUCAGAUAUUUAAAAGAAUGCUGGAACUAUGUGGUAUUACCUGAGAAGAUUGUACAUUUCAGAAAGGUUUAUUGUGUUUGGCUUACCAGUGCUUGACCGGCAUUAUGGUAAUCGCUUGGUUGAUUGGCUUUUGACGUUAAGAUUUUACUAUGUAGCAUGAAAGAAUUAGGGAAAUAUUUCUCGUGAUAUGAUUGUGUAUGAGAGAGGUGUUAGUUAUUUGGGUGGUCGAGUCAGGAUCAAAUAUAGAGAUUUUAGUAUUGUUGUGAUUUGGAGACUGGGAGUAUCAAAGGUAGGUUAUUCCUUGGUUGUGGACUAUGAAGAUAUGGCUAGGUUAGGCAGCUAAUAGUAUGUAUUGUGGUCAGGUUAUUGUGGACUUUGGAGGGUUAUUUACCUAUUUGUGUAUGGACGAAGCUAAUUUGGGGCCUAUUGUUGAUUUUGAGCAUUAUGGCUUGAGGUAUUUUAUAUGGGCCGAUGUUUGGAUAAGGUCAUGUAUUACAACAGAGUUAUAUUGGAAUAUGAUCCUUCAUGUUAGAUUCGUAUGUCUUGGUUCUACUAUGGGUAAUGGAUUCAUAGCAUUGCGUUUGUGGUGCUACCUGUAGAGCUUGCAAGAUGGUUCUCUCAUUUGAUUCAUCUUUCAUCAUUGGUUACAUUCAAAUUAUUGCUUAUUGGUGACCGAAUUACACGUCUUGUGGUUAUAGAUAAUAUUUCUGUGGCAUGGCAGUUGAGCCACUUGUAUUUGUUGAGAUAAGGUUAUUGGACAGGGAACAUAUUCUAUCGGUCUUGAUUGCGGUAUGUUUGGAAGAAUAAUGUCAUUUGUAAGCUUAGAGUUUGGCAACGGUACAUAUCGGACGUGAUAGCUCCAUGACUAGUUGAUCUGAUAAGUGGUUAUAGCUUUCUGCAUGUUUCUUCCAAAAUUGGUAGUGUACGAGGGGUUAAGACAAGGUUUUAUUUGAUAUGAGGUUUACUACUGGUAUCAAGUUUGUUUUGAGCAGCUAUUGUAGUCAAAAGUUAUUACAAUGAACGUCUGAGUUAUGUGAUAGGUCAUGUAAUUACAUCUUGAGUUAAGAUUAUAGCUUGAUACAUGUUGUUCAGAUUUAUACAGUGUAUAUGAGAACCAGGUCUUGUAAUGUAUUUCGAGUAUUAAAAAUGAGGUUCUAAUAUUAAUGGACCUAGGUUAUAGUAAGGAUCUUUAGUUAGUGUCACAGUCCCAAUUUCCCUCCGUAGGAUGUCAGACGAAAGCCUAACAAACAUGCGAAAUAACUGAAUUAAUAAUUAAGUCUCAAACUCAACAACUAUAUAAAACAAACUUGCAACUCAGCAUAUACAACUCUCGAGACCCGACAAAACAUAAGUCACAAGCUCUGAGUAAAAAUAUUGGAUAAUCCUAUACAUCAAUGUCUAUAUAUGAAAAAAUAAUAAAUAAAGAGAUCUAGAGAGAGGAGGACUCCGAGGCCUGCAAACACCGACAUGUAUACCUUGAAGUCUCCGUAGCAGAACCCUAUCUAAUGCCUGGACUGAUAGAAAGUACCUAGAUCUGCACAAAAAGAUGUGCAGAAGAGUAGCAUGAGUACACCACAACGGUACCCAGUAAGAGCCAAGCCUAACCUCGGUAGAGUAGUAACGAGGUCAGGUCAGGGCCCUACUAGAAUAAAUAAAAAGACUAAACAAGUGUAAGACAGUGUAAUAAGGACAAUAAUGAAAUUGAAACAACAAAUAACAUAUCAAGAUUAGCUACACGGAACAAAGCAAUUAGUGCAACACGUAGAAAAUAAUUAAUAGUAUGCUAAGGAAAUAACAACUAAAGACAAGUGCAACAAUGGAGAAAUGCCAUAAGAGUCACUACCGAGGUACCACCUCGUAGUCUCAAAUCACAAGAAUAAGUCACAAUCUUUCCAUAUAUCACCGUGGAAGCCUUUACAUUAGUUUUGAAAACCAUUUUUCCGAAAUAGCAUCCCGCGUUUUAGCCCACCUUAUCACACCGCAUGACUUCUAGUAGUUCCCCUACUAGCCACGCAUGUCAAGCCCACCUUAUAUCACCGUAUGCGUUUCAACCCCAAAACCUUAUACCACUACAUGCGUAUCAAUAUCACAAUGUAUCACCAAUCACACCUCAAGUGCCCAAUAUCACAACUUGCAAGAGAAACCAAACAAUAAUAGUAUUUUCACUAUAAAGAGCCCAUGGCUCAACCACAAUGUACACAAGAGUCUAAACAAUAACAACCAGAAUGAACAACUCAACAUAAUGGUAUUUCACAACUUAACACUCUGCCUCAAUGUGAAUCACGACCUUGAUAUCUCAAUACCAAUUUCAACAACAAGAUAUUCCACGAUUUAAUAACUUCAAGUAAAGAGUUCAACAAUUAAAUAAUGAACGCAGAAUAAAGGAAAUAAGAACUUCAAUUAAACAUGCAUGGAUAUUAGCAUGUAAGAGAGUAAGACAAGUAGAUAUGUGAAAAUAGACUAGAAAUGGUGACUGUAAAAUGUUAAGGUAACUCAAUUAUGGCAUGAAAGGAAUCUACAUAGCCAAAAUCGGAAAUUUUCGUAUUUAGAUCGUGUACACACUCAUCACCUUGCGUACACGGCUUUAACAUAUCACAAUUAUCACAACCGAUACAAAUCCUAAGGGGUAAUUCCCCAACACAAGGUUAGGAAAAUCAGUUACUUUAACUCACGCUAACUCAAUCAACUAAUAGGCCUUUCUCUCGAUUAUGCAACUCCGAACGACUUAAAUCCCAAAGUUUUUCUUGAAAAACUCUCGAAAAAUUACCUUCAACCGAGCUCUCUAAGUCCAAAAAUGGAUUAUGAAUCAAACAUUUUCUUAUUUCUUCCCAGCGACUUCUGCUUCUACGACCUUUUUGUCGCUUCUACGAUGCCGCACCUGCGGAAAAACCAUCGAAGGUGCGGAUUCCACUUAAGCGCAGGGGAUUCCGCAUCUGCGGAUAAAAUCUCACACCUGCGAGUGCACUCCUAUGGAAAACUCUCCGCUUCUGCGAUGACCGACCAAACUUGCCCCCAUCCGCAACUGCAACCACUUCUCCGCACCUGCGGACUCGCAAAUGCAGAAACCACUUCGCACCUGCGAUCCCAACUGGGCAAAGCCAGCUUCACUUCUGCGGUCCACUGCCCGCUUUUGUCAGUCCGCACAUAUAGCUAAUCCCUCUGCAGGUGCGAUGACACUAGAAGCUGGAAACUUUAGCAAUCUAAGUCCAAAUUUCGAUCCGGUUCAAUUUAUUUCACACCCGGGGCCCCCGGACCCCGUCCGAAUAUACCAACAAGUCCCAAAACAUAUAAUGAACUUACUCGAGGCCAAAAAUCACUUCAAAUAACAUUGAUUCUAUGAGGUGCAACCUAAAUUCAAGCCUAUGAACUAUGAACUUCCGAAUUCUGAAACCAAUGCCGAUUCAUACCAAAACAACUCUGAUUGACUUCAAAUUUUGCACACAAGACCUAUUCCACUACAAAAAAACAGCGUUUAGCAAUGGAAUUUAGUGACAAGAGAUACUUCGUAGCUACAUAACAACGAAUUAGCGACGCAUUUUGUAGUUUGUCGCCAAAUAAGCUACAAAAAGAAUUUGUAUAAAAUAUAGCGACAGAAAUAGCGACAAAAACUUAUAUUUGUCGCUAAAAUUGGCGCUAAAUGUUAGCGCCUUUAUUUUACCUACAAAAUUAGUGAUGGAAGUGGAGCAACAAAAUUAUUAAAACCUAGCGGCAGAUUUACCGUCAAAAAAUCUAUCGCUGCAGUCAUUUUACUUAUCAAGACAUUCUAAAGUUGAUUGCGACAAAAUUUUCCGUCGCUAGUUUCCUUAAAAUAAAAUUUCAUUUGAUAUUAUUCGCGAUAGAAAUUAGGUCCGUCACUAUUUCCGUUGCUAAAAAUCUAGUUCCAUUUUAAAAUAAAAUUUCAUUAGUUAUUAUUAGCGACAGAAAUUCGAUCCGUCGCCAAUUCCGUCGCUAAAAUUUUGUCCUAAAAAUAAAAUUAGGACAAUACGCCCACUCCCCUUUAUUAGACUCCCACUCUCAAUACAAUUAGGGCAACACGCCCACUUUCUCUCCUCUCUAUCAGACAGACUCCCACUCUCAAUACUCUUCAAUAAUGUGAAUUUUUUGCUGCAGAACUUUGAAAUUCGAAGUCGUGUGUUGCUGCUCCGCAAGAUUCUCAGGUGAAAGGGUAAGCUUCUUUGUGAUUUCAUUCCUGACAUUAUCGGUUAGUCGAAGGUCUUUGCGUAAAAAGAGGUGUCGUCUUGCCUACUAAAAGAUAUUCUGGUCAUUUCAUCUUCUUUGUUUCUCUGUGUGGUGUUCUUCUUCAUCUUCUAUCAAGUGACUGAGUAGGUAAUGAAUUUAUUUUCACUGUAAUCUAUGAGAUUGUUCUGAAUUAUUUAAGCUCUUCCUUGCAUUGAUACCAAUUUUGCUACUCCUUUUUAUUUAUCCUUUAAUCGAAUGUAUCUGUACUGCACCUUCUCCUUCAAAGUUGGUUUUUAUGGAUCUCGGUGGUGUUUUUUUUGGGGCAUCCCAGGAUUAUCAUAUUGAAGUAUUUGCUUAAAUGUCUUCUUCGUACUUGGUUGGUAAUUGUUGCGCUCCCCAUGCAUCGGUAGUUGAAGGUUUUGUUUUUCAAUUUUCUCAAUUUUAGUUCCAAGUUGUAUGUAGUGUGCGCUUUAUUUUGUUCAAUUUUGGUAAUUGUUUCUCCAUUCUUGCUUUCAUUCAAUGUAAUUUGUUAUUGCUACUGUAGUUUUGGUGUUGGUGGGUAUCGGCUACAAGCUAUGUUCUUUUGGAAAGUGUGCUAUUGGAUUUUUACAUACAUGUCAGCAACUUUAUCCAAUUUGCUCGAUGUUGUACGGAUGGUGUUUGAUAAUAUGCUUGUAUGAACUGCCUUUGCACUGCAUGGAAGAAGCUAUUUGUAAUCUUUUCCUAUUUCUAAUAGUCAUGUGAAUGGUGAUUUAGUGAAGCAUCUCCAAAUUAUAUUUUCAGUUCUGCUUUGAUUAAGCAUUUUUUUGUGGUACCAAGAGCAGAACUUUUUCCGUUUGUCUUCACGCUUAUUUCAGAAGAAGUUGUUUUCUUCUCAAAUCUAUGGGUAUCUCCCAAGAUUAGUUCUUUACGAGGUUUUAAGUUGUUUUAUUGAAGUAAAUUUCAAAAGGAACUCUUAAUUUGAGGUGUUUUCUUUAUUUGGCUCUAAUGUAUUUUUCUUCUGAAUGUUGUUAUCAUUUCUAUGAUCUUUUGUUGAUGGUAUCCGUUUAUUUUCUUUAUCUUGUUGAUCUACAUGAAAUUGUUAGCUAUGUUAAGUUUCCUAGUUAACAUCGUUGAUUAAGCAUUUUUAUGAACUUCUUAAUUUUUCAAAGAAGUUUGACCAUAUCAUGUAUGCUUUUCUUUGCAUGUAGAUCAGUUUGACCUUGAACAUAUCAGCAGAUUUACAAUCAUUGUAGAUCAGUUUGGCCAUAUGAAUGUCUGGAUCUCUGGGUGUGUAUUCAUCUUAUGUUUCACUAAUCUAAUCUCUAGGACAUAAUAUAUGUACAUUUGUCAUCCCUGGUCUAAUAUCAUUGAAGUUUGCUAGAGUGUAGAGGAGAGGUGGUCAUAUGGAUGUUGAUGCCACAACUAACACUCUGAAUUUUAGGACGUGGAAAUUGGAAACAGAAUGUAAUACAUAUAUUUACCAGGCUAUUGGUUACCUAUAGCAAUAUCAGAUAGUAAAUUCUAUACCUUCUUGUACAACUUGAUGAACUUUGGCCAAUAGUUAAUUACUGAAAUAAAACAAUUUUAUGCAUUAUAUAACUUUACAACAGAAAUCUCACGAUUUUUCCAUUGCCAACAGAGAAAGCAGACUAAUUUAGCCAACAACGCAUAUAGAUCACAUAGAAUGUUAUAGCAGACUAAUUUAGCCAACAACACAUAUUGAUCACAUAGAAUGUUAGUCGUAAAUACACAUAUUGUUCACUUAAUUGCAUAUAGUGGCUUCUCCCGUUAGUUACGCCCCCCUCUUUUUUCCAGUUAAUUACGUUAUCUAAUCAUUUUUGACCUAUGUAAUCCUCAAUAUGUAGCAUUUCAUUUGUCUUUAAGGUUCUUAUUUUGGUCGACGAAAGGAACUGAGCAUUCCAAGAUUUGUUUUCAUUCCAAGAUUGGGGCGUUAGUAAUUCUCAGCUUAUUCUGAUGUCAACUUGUUAUUCAUUUUAGAAAGCAUUCUGAUGUCUUAUUAAAUAAAGAACUCUAAGGUCUUGUUUAUUUUAAUAUUAAAUAGGAACAUAGACAAUCUAGAUCGUGAUUGGAUGUACAAAAGGUUGGAUAGUCGAGGGGGUAUUAAUUCAAGUUUCAUAAUUGGUGUGAACAAGUUUCUCCAGUUUGCUUGUUCUCAGCGCAAUUGCAUGAGUGAUGACAAUGUUAAAUGUCCAUGUAAAAAAUGUCACAACAUUAAAUACAUGGAUGUUGAAACUGUUAAAUUGCACCUUUAUCAGUAUGGAUUUGUUGAGAACUAUUUUCUUUGAAAGCAUUAAGGAGAAAAAAAUUUGACCGGUGAGAUGUCUUCUAGUGGUGAUUUGCAUGGUGGCACUCAACCUGAAUCGGAAUAUGAGAAUCCAUAUCAAAAAAUGGUCUUAGAUGCAGCUGGACCCAAUUUUGGCCAUGGUUUGAGCUGGCAGUCUUAUAAUAAUAUUGAACUUGAGUCGUCUCAUUCUUACGAACCUUCAAUGGAGGAGGAGCCUAAUCCUUCAAUGGAGGAGGAGCCAAAUCUUGAGUGCCAAAGGUUUUAUGAUUUGCUACAGGCCGCUGAUGCAAAUUUAUACCCUGGUUCUUCCCUCGCUCAACUCGCAGUAGUUUCCAGGAUGCUAAAUAUUAAAAUGGAGAAUACUUUAUCACAAAGAUGUUAUAACCAAAUGAUGCAAUUGUUGAAAGAGGCUUUAACAGAAGAUAACACAAUGCUUGAUAACUAUUAUGAGACCAAGAAGCUAGUGCGUAGCUUGGGUUUGCUAGUUAAAAAGAUUGAUUGUUGUAAUUAUGGAUGUAUGUUGUAUUGGGGUGAAGAUGAGGAUCUCACAUCUUGCAAGUUUUGUGGCCACCAGAGGUAGAAACGUCGUGUCAGUUCUCAUAAGAGGAAAUUAAUCCCUUACAAAAAAUGUAUUAUUUUCUUUUGAUUCCUAGAUUGCGGAGAUCAUAUGCAUCUCAUGCUACAGCCACUGAUAUGAGAUGGCAUCAUGAGCACAUACAAGAGGAGGGCGUAAUGUGUCAUUCAUCAGACUCUAAGGCUUGGAAGCACUUUAGUGAAAUUCAUCCAUUCUUUGCUGCUGAACCAAGAAAUGUGAGGUUGAGAUUUUAUGUACUGAUGGUUUUCAGCCCUUUGGUCAUUCAGGGAGGAAAUACUCUUCAUGGCCAGUGAUUGUCACUCCAUACAAUUUGCCUCUAGGGAUGUGUAUGAAAGCGGCGUACAUGUUCUUAACCGUCAUUGUUCCAAGGCUAAAUAACCCUAAACAAAAAGUUGAUGUUUAUCUACAACCUUUAAUAAAGGAAUUGACCUUGUUGUGGGAGACGGGUGUAGAAGCAUUUGACAUCUCAAAAAAACAAAACAUUUUAAUUAAAGGCCUCUUUGAUGUGGACAAUCAAUGACUUUCCAGUAUAUUCUAUGUUAUCUGGAUGGAGUACUGUCGGUGACUUAGCAUGUCCUUAUUGUAUGAAGGAAGCACAAUCCUUUAGAUUACGCCAUGGUGGGAAAACGACUUGGUUUGACAGUCAUAGAAUGUUUCUUGACUAAAAUCAUCUAUUUAGGAGAGAUCAUAAAAACUUUCGUAAAGUUCAGACUGUCAGAAGGCUACCACCCCCCUUAGAACAGGAGAGGAAAUCU
This 52608-nucleotide long non-coding RNA is filed under the name Nicotiana tabacum (common tobacco). RNAcentral describes it as "long non-coding RNA (NTAB_LNC007564)". The stretch from base 34848 to 34954 matches the Rfam family "Plant small nucleolar RNA R71". The record is from RNAcentral. Lineage: Eukaryota; Viridiplantae; Streptophyta; Magnoliopsida; Solanales; Solanaceae.